UCUACAAGAAGGUGGACGAGGCUCUACCUAAGGUUAGCUUCCUAGGCUUAUUACAUGUUGGGUUUGAGUUAAUAUGUGUCUAAAGAUUCUCAAAUUGUUCCUUACUGUCGUCCAUGCUGGACUAGUAAGGCACCCCGAUCCUCACCCAUUAACGAACGAAAAUGGUUCAAUUUGAAUGAAAGUAUUUCACUUGCCAUUACAGAGGUUAUCACCUCACGAGGGCAUAGGUACUUUACUUUCCCUAUAAGGGACUGAGCCUAGGUAUAGAACUCAUGCAUGAGAUGCAUUGUGUCAUUAUGUGUAUAUGUUUCCUAAUUUAUCAAGAGUAAUAUAUAUAAAAAAAAAUAAAGUAUAAGAGACAGUAAAAAAAACACGUGUGAAUUUUUCUUUUUGUUUUUGAUUUAUUUAUUUUUAUUGAAAGCGAAAAAUAAAAUCUAAAAAAAUUGAUUAUGACUGUUUUAAUCAAAAUUUAAAGAUAACAUGUAGUUAAUUUUGGCCUAACUCUCGAAAAUAAAUUACUCUCCAGUGGAGUCACCAAGCUAUCAUAACGGUUUUGUGUUCGUUCGAUGAAUUUGAAAAAAAUAAAAAAAAGAGUCACCACAACUUUUUUUUGGCUAUGUGCAAUUGACCACCUAUUAAAAUUUAUCAUUUUAAUAACAUUUUAAAAUUAAUUAAAAUUUAUUAAAAAAACUAAUUUUAUGAUCUGUAAAACAGUCUGGGUUCAGGAGUUGGUUACACGUGAGGAAGGAUUAGCACCCCCACAAUGCCCGUUUAAAAAUGGUACCACUUAACUAUCUGUUAUUCUUUGAUUUUGAAAAAAAAUAGUCUUAUUUUCGGUCUUUGAAAAAUAAUUUUCUUGAUUUUUUCAUUUAUUGGGAAUUGGUGUUUAUAUUCAAAUAUUAUUUGAAAAAAUAAAUUAGAACAUUUGUAUUGAAAUAAUUCUUAAAAUAUUUCAGUACAUUGGUAACAUUAGAAAAACUCUUUCUUACCUAGAGAUUUUUUGGGUAUCGUUUCUUGGAAUACUUUAGAAUCUCAUCUUCGGAGGUUCAAAUUUAUUUUUCAUAAAAAAACUAUGCCAUGCAUGCAAUACAAAUGAUAAUACGUUAAUACACACAUUUUAUUUUUUGUUUAGAAAUUUUAUUAAUUGAUUUCCUUUUUAGUUAAAUUUUUGAAGAAAAAAAAAGAAAUUUUUAUUAUAUUGAAGUUUUAUUAUAAAUAUUCAAAUAUACUGGUAAUAAUUUAAAAAAUCUUUUCAUUUAGAGAUUUCGUAAAGCAUCGCUACUCGGAAUACUUUUAGAAUCUCAUAAUUGGAUAAGAUUUCCUUUUUUCUUAUUUUUUAUUACUAUUCCUUUAUCACUUUGUUUUCAAUAAGUUAGUUAAUUUUAUUUAUUAUUAAUAGAAAAAAUUUUAUUAUAUUGAAAACCUUUUAUAAAUAUUUCAAUACAUUGGUAGUAUUUAAAAAAAAUCUUCUCACCUAGAGAUUUCAUAGGUAUCACUACUCGGAAUAUAUUUGAAUCUCAUCGUCCGAUAAAAAUUUUUUUUCUUAUUUUUUUAUUAAUUUAUAAGAUUUAUUCUAAAAUUAACAAAAUUAUCAAAAAAACUUUAUUAUAUAUUUUAUCAUAUAUUUUUACUUAUUUCAAUAAAAAAUUAUUCUAAUAAAUUAAACAUUUUAAUAUGCAUGAAUAUUAAUAAUAAAUUUUAAAAUAAUAUAUAAAAAAUUUUUCAAAAAUUUUUUUUUUACCUGAACCGAACCGGUUAAUGGUCUGGUCAACGCGAGUUUGAGUUGGUUUGGUGGUUCAAUCCGAUUGGUUUGAGUUCAGCGAUUCGACGUCAGUUUGGUUCGGUUUGGCCUAGUUCAACUAGACCGAUUGAGAGGCAAAAGAGAUAACGGGUAUUCGGGUCGGGUGCGUGGAUCCUAGGUCAGGUUGCGGGUUGACGCACGGAUCUUCUAGGGUUGAAAUACCGUCGUUUUGCUUUUUUCCUAAACAACGUCGUUUUAAAGGCCAAAUUAGCUAUUUUUUGUUUUCUUCUUCCUCUUUCUCUCUCUUCCUCUCAGACUCUCUCCUUCUCUUUCUAGUAACCCAGAAUCAGACGAUUGCUCCGUCAUGUCGACCCCCGUUAGUGGUUGCCGACCGUUGUUCGUCGGUUACCUAAAAAAAUCUCAAGAUUCACCAAAUGGAUGUUCCCAACCUCCUGAGUCCAGAUUUGGGCCUGUUUUUGUGAAAAUGGGCUCUAAAUGGCCUAGAUCUGGCUUGGAAGGUUCGAUAAAUUUUUUUUUAUGUUUGUGUUGUUUUUCGUUUGGCACUGUGGUCCUUGUUUCCAGAAGCUGUUGUUUCUGUGUUUGUAUGUGUUUUGGUUUGCUUUGGAUUUUUUUUGUUUGAUAAAAAAUUUUUUUCUUUUUUAAUUUGGCAUAUUUUUUUGCAGUGCUUUGGGUUUCUUUUUUUUUUUUUCUUAUGGUGUUUUUUACAGCUCUAUUUAUAGAGCAAGAGGAAGAUCAAAAUCUCAGAUAUUUUGAGAUUUUGAUCACCUACGAUUAGGGUGGUCAUUGGCUGUCAGAAUUGCUACCGGUAGCUGUCAGAGUGGCUGGCAACUGUAGGCGGCUGUUAGAGCUAUUGGCAAUGCAACUGCCGGUAGUCAACAGUAAAGCUACCAAAAGGAGGAAAAAAGAAAAAAAAAGAAAAGAAAGAAAAAGAAAAAAAAUAAUUAAUUAAUAAAACAGUGUCUACAACCAUAUCAUUAAAAAAAUUUUAAAAAUAAAAAAAUAAAUUUUGAUUUUUUUAAAAUAAAAAAUUUUAAAAAAUGAUAUGAAAAUAGAUGAUAUGAUAAUAAUUGAAGAUUUAUAUCACCUGUUAUAAUUGUAUUAGAUAUUAAUGUUGCAUAAGCAACUUGAUUACUGCAUAAGCAACUUGAUUAAAUAUAUUAGUUUAAAGUAUCAAAAUAUUUAAUAAAAUAAAAUUUGGAUACUAAAAUGAAAAUUUUAUUUUUUUAGAUAUUAAAUUAAUAAAAAAUUUAUAAUGCUUAUGUCAUUUUAAUAUUUAACCCUUAAGACUAAGGUCUUAAGUAACAUAAGCUAAAAGUAUCCAAGAUUGCAUUUGGACGCAGCGGCACCCCAGUUCAGUGCCAUUUGAAUUACUUUUUUUACCUAACCGUAUCAUCACGAUUUUUUUUUUGGGCCAAUUCAAGCAUUGUAUUCAUAGAAACCAUCCUAUACACUUCCAAGAUCAGUUGCAAUAAUACAAAGAUACACAUAGAAAUCUUCACAGAACAUCACUGCAUAUCAAUGUACUUAACAAAACAAUUAUGGCGGUGCAGGUAAUCCAUCCUUAUCAAGUAUGAACAUUAAAGAAAGAUUGGGUGUAUUCACCCGGCUGUCAAGGCUCAUCUUCUUUCUGAAUUGGACAGCUCUCCAAUUCGCAGUUUAUUAGCUUUUUUUAUCCACACACACAAAUUUGACUUCCUCCAGCCUCUUAAUACUUCUUAAUAUGUCUUUUACCACUGGCUAAAUUCUCCACUCUUGUUCAGUAACUCUAGAACAAAGAUGGUAAUAGAGAAUGAGGGAAUCCAUUUCCAAUACAACUUUUGAGAACCUUUCUUUCUGUGCUAGCCAUACUCCUUCUCUUGCUGCUAUGGCUUUAGCUUCUAUACAAGAUUUCACACAGAUUUCUUUUCCAGUCCCUCCUAUCACGAUGUUCGAUUAACACAAGUGUGGCACGGUUGAAUAUUUUUACCGUGCCACAAUUUUUUUUCUCUUGAUCUAAAAGGUUUAUUGAAAAUCUUUCUUUUCAUUACACCCUUUCUUUCAAUUCAGUUCAUGUCUCUUUAUUUUCCUUGAGGUUAUAAUAAUUAUGCAAAAAUAUUUUUAUCACUAAAUUUUUAUUUUUUAUUUUUUUGUUUCCAUUUUGAUCUUUUAUUUAAAAAUUUUAAAAUAAUUUUAUUAAUUUAAUAUAUAAAUAAAAAUUUAUCAUUAUACAAUAAAUUAAUAAAAUAAAAUUUAUUAUUAUAUAAAUAAUUAAUAAAUAAUAUAUAUUAAUGUUUUGUUUGAAUAAAAAUUUAUAAUUUUAAGUUUUACAAAUAAUAUUAAUGUAUACAUAAAACUACAUUAUUUCAAUAAUUAAUUUUAAUUUUACCACGGUAGCUAUAUUAACUAACUAGUUGGUAUCCUGCACUAUGCUGCGGGCUUAUUUAAACUAUAAACAUAAAGUGUUCACCAAAGGCUUAAAAAUAUUCAAAGGCUAUAGCCAAAACAAAGAACCGAGCAGUCAAAAUGAGAAGCAUUUACUUACUGACCUCAAGAACCAGAAAUUCAGAUUUCGAGCUUUAUUGAAAACCUAAAAAUAUAAAAUAUAAAAUUUGCUCAAAGUUAAAGAAUUUGACUCACUAAGCAUGACCAUAAAGGUAACAAACUGAAGAGGGGUGUUAAUAACACCUGUCAAGAUCAACUUUCCAUCGAGUUUCAACGAUGAAAGGUAAGGCUCAAGAGGGUGAAAAAUAGGUACAGUGUCAACAAUGUAGUCAAGUGAAUCAGCAGCCUUUUGCAUCCCUUCAGUGUCAGAGUUGACAAAGUAGUCAUCAGCACUAAGAUGCUCGAAGGCCUCUAUUUUUUUCUUAUCAGAAGAGCUUAUAACGGUUACAUGAUGUCUCAUUGCUUUUGCUAUCUUCACCCCCAUGUGCCCUACUCCUCCAAAUCCUAAUAUCCCUCCUCUUAAACCACUCCCCAAUUAACCAAAGUCAUUUAGUGAGCUGUAACAGUCACCCCAGCACAUAAGAGCGGUGCCACUUGUUCCGGUGCCAUUCCAUCUGGGAUUUUCACCACAAACAUAAAACAGAUGACAACAAAUAAGUUCAUUUACCAAGAAAAAAAAAAACUCCAUAAAAGAAAGGCACAGGUUGAAACUAAUUUCUCUUGGACUGUUGUAUUAUUAACUUCUAGAUUAUAUAUUUCAUGAUUAAUAUGAGACUUAGUUUGGCUUGAAAAUUAGCUAAAUACUCUAUAAUCAUGCAAUUAAGGAACCUGGGAAUUGGAGAAAAAAAAAAGUCAUCUUAGCAAUGUUUUUAUGCAGAACACAUAAUGUUUAUGAUUACGAUUGAUAGUUUUGAACUUAUGAUCCUUACUUUUGAUAAACGACCAUGGAUCCAGUAAAUCCACCUUGUGUGGGUUUGCCAUCAGUGUAGACAUCAUUGCAUGACCAAAUCUUCUUGUUGCAAUAUUGUUCAUGAUCUGUGUUGCAUGGCCUGCAGUUUCUGCAACAUCCAAUAAUACAACGAAUGCCAACAUCUCCUACGCUAAACUUGUCCACAACAUAAGUUUAUAUUUAUUCACCACGUAAUUACCCAAACCUUAUCGAUUGAUUCGUUGUCUGCUCAACUUCAAUUCCAUUCAUUCCUUCACUGAUAGAAACACCACUAUUCCCAUUUGGAGCAAAACCAGAAUCCUGCAAAUUAGUGACAAGUAAAUGCUUUAAAUACAACUGGGAAUUCAAAGUUUGUCUCAAUUAUUUAAUUAUCAUAUACUGUCAAUUUAGGUACCUCUGACAUCAAAUAGCUGCUCACAUCAGGAGUAAGAGGCAGAUUUGCCACCUCGUCUUCAUAGAAAUCUUCAUGUAGUUUUGGUAAUACAUUCUCAUCAAACUCUCUAGAUAAAAUGUACCAUCAGAAAUUAGAAAUGCAAACAUAAGAGGAUGAUGAGGAUAGAUACCCAUUUAUAAAGAAUUGAACAUUCAAAAUUAAUGGCUUACUUGAAAAACAAACCUUUGAAAUUGCAUGCAACAUUUCUUGCUACGCAGAGGAUUGGAACUGCAUUCACUGUCUAAUAAAGGAGGGAGAGAAUUUGCCAAAAAAAUUAGAAAAAAGAAAUCAUAUCUCAAUAAGUUGGCUUACCAAAAAGGCAUAUCAUGUACCUCUGCCUGAGGAGCAUAAUAUGGUGCAAAUUAAGGAACUACAUGAACUCUAGGUUGAUCCUUAUCCUACCAGACCUUUGAACGGUCAUCAAUUACCAUUGCCAUCUAUGGAUGCACUUGCCAUCUCGGAACACCUUUAGCAAAGAUUGCCUGAAACUUGCAACAAUUAUUAAAAAACAAAAGGACAUUGAAUUUAUUAAAGUAGAUGGCAAGGUGGGGCUACCAUCAAGAAAAGGAGACUACUUACUACAACAGGUUCUUUGUUUGAACCAUCAGUUUUCAAAUAUGCUCAUCGAAAAUUAAGAUUCAACAACUUAGAUUCCACAAAAUAACAUAAUUACUUUAUGAAGUUUCGUUUUUAGAAUGAUAAAACAUCAAGAUCCAACUACAAAAGAAAAUAUUUAAAAUUGUUAUACACUUGCCAGAUUUGACACAAACAACUCAAUCUAGUAGUUGCUUUGAACUUAUCAGGUAUGCCUCUGGAUCAAGAAGUCUCCGCAUCUCUAAGGCAUAAUCUCUUUCAGCCAUAUUACAAACAUAUACUUCAAAGCAUUUUUGUCAUUUUAUAGUCAAAUAACUUCUCAAUUCCUCCCACGCAAGACAUAACAUCACAAGCACGCUGGUUUCACCAAUCUGAACAAGGCAAACUAUUCAUAAAUAAGAUAACAUACACAGAUUCAUAUUCCAAAUAGAUUCCAUCUAUUCAUCCCAUGCUCUGUAGAAAUGUGUGAUAUUGAGUACUUAUCAUAAUGCCUACAUCACAGGAUGAUAAUCAGCUCAGUAAAUUCCAUGUGACACCUCUUAAAGUCUUAAGUCUUAAAUUACAUCAUAAAUCCAGUUGAAACAAUUACUACUUAGGGAUGCUUGAUUUAAGGUGUAAUUUCAACCGGAUGCUUAAUGUUUGUGUAAUUUCACUAAGCAUCAACUGGAUUUGUGCUAAGCAGGAAUUGUACACAAAUCCAGUUGAAUUGCAAAAACCAUAUGAAUUGCACAAACGAUUUCCUCAUUACCCGUUUAAGGUUUGUGUUGUUUAAGGUCCUAGAGAUCCAUAGGGAUUGUAUAAAUUGCACAAAUAGGUUAUGAAAUUAUACAAAUCCAGUUGAAUUGUACAAACUCUAAGCAGGAAUUGUAUAGUCUUAAUCCCUAUUAUCCAUUAAGUUUUAAAUUACAUUUUGUUUACUUGGCAUUACCACUAUAUGAACCUCCUCAUCUCAAAUCAAAACUGCUGCCAAUUAAGAAACCACAGUAAAAAACAAUUAAUUAUAUUAAAACACUAAAAAUGUAAUUAAAGUUUUGAAUAAAAAAAUGAAAGAAAUUAAAGAACCUUGAAUUCAUAAAAGCAAGAGGCAUGGAGGUGAAUCAAAUGCGGUUGUUCAACCAGAGAAGAGGAUUUGAGCUUGCAACGAAAGGGCAAUGAGGAAAUCAGAUGGAGAAUUGAGAGAGGCCUGCAUCAUUUGAUUGUUAAAUUGCAAUGAAUACAAAACAAUCGAAUACAUACCACCCCCAAUUAUUAAUCCAAAACAAAUAAAACACAGUUUAACAUUCAUAUUGUCCUGUCUAAGCUGUGACACAUCCUGGUUCAGUCUUUCAACAUGGAACUUUAGCUAAUUGGAUUCUAGUUCCAUGCUCAGCAAAUGCCAACGAAAAGCCUCUAACUUCUCAUCUUUCAAUCUCAUUUGUUCUGCAAAGGCAUCCAGUUUCAAAAGGUGUCGCUUCUCAAUUACAGUUUCAUACUUUUUUGCUGCUGCUCAAACCCAACCCCAAUCUCUUGACAUCAACUGUCACUACUUCAAAUGCAAGGACAGAAAAAGAAUAAAAACACAAAACAAGAAAAGAAAAUCUAAUACAAAAAUGAUAACGAUCUUAACACAGUAAGCGUUCGACUGGAUCCCAUAUACUAUUCAUACACAAUGCUUGGUGAUCAAGAGAAUUAUAAAGAAAUUGUUCUUACCCAAGCCCUUACCCCCUUCCGGAGAAUGAUAAUCAGGAAGAGGAGAAAAGACUUCUGGAUCUGUUUUCAACUCUGAAUAGUCAUAUUCCAAAAUAAUAUCAGUCGGCUGUAAUCUGAUUUUACCAGAGUUUGACAACUCUUCGACACCCAAGGAAACAUCCAAUUUUGAAACGGUUUGUUUAGCAAAAAUAGACUCCAAUGAAUGUCUCUCAUGUCUAGACUCAGAGACUGCCCACCACCUUUCUGUUUCUAGUUCAACUUGCUUCUUCUUUGCCUUUGAUACUUUAAUCUCCUUCAAAGGCAACUGCUUCUCUGUCGUAUACAACUUAGAUUUCCUUAGCAUUACGGACAAAAUCUUCUCUUUCUGCUCCAAAUCCUUGCACAUUUUUGUAACUUCUAAGGACAAUUUUUGCGCCAAUAAAAUUGACUUCGCUCAACCUCGAACCAUCCUUAUUCAAGUUAUUCCAAGAGUCAUCACUAUUUUUAAAUGCGCAAUUGCCAGAUUCGUUCUUAAUUAAAACAUGCAACCGCAGAAAACUUGAAUAUAAAAACUUCCAGAAACAUUCUUUGUUCUCAAUUAAAACAUGCAAUUUGAUUUUUGGGCAACACAUGCAUAUAUAUAGAAGUAUUUUUUGUUCUAAAUUAAAACAUGCAACCACAAAAAUGGCGGGACAUCAACUAUCAAGCUUACCAAUUCUAAAGAACAGCAUGCAUGGUUGCUGUUCUGAAGGUCCAAGAAGGAAAUAUUACCAAAUGGAGACUUUAACUGGAGAUUGAAAUUUGAAUGAUUGGAGAUUAAAAUUUGAAACAACUGUUUGAGUUGAGGAGAGAAGGAAAGAAUGAAAAGGUCGUGAAGAACCGACUAUAAUAGCAUCAAUGCCCAUUGUCGACCUAAACAUGAAUCAAGAAAGAAAAAGACGCCUUUUAAAAACUUCUUCCAAUUGAUUGUUUGUCUAAAUCUAUCCUCUCUUUUUCUCUUUUUGACAUUGAGUACGUGUACUUACAAUUGGAGUCGGGGACUCCUUUUAUUAUAAGUAACAGAUUUGACUGCUUUUAAUUUUCUUAAGAGCCGCUCCCAACGCCCAAGAGGGCCCUAAGUCUUUGACAACCAGUGACGAGAUUUAGGAAGACAAUUCGACACUAAUCUUAAUUUCAGCUUUCCCUGGCAACGUUGGUGUCUGAGUCUACUGUAAUUAACCUAUUAACGUCAUCGUAAUCAGCAUCACUGUCUCCCUCCUUCAUUGCACGUGCACGAACCAAAUAGAAAAAGUUGAGAAAAAACAUUAGAAAAUGUUCUCAGAAGAAACGGUGUUCUCCACAUGCUAAGAGAAGUGGGAGGGAUUUGAGCUUAUCCGUUACCCUUACUGUAGCAGUUCAAGUUCAAGUUCAAGCCCCGUACCCCCACUCAGCCUCAAAAACAUAAAAGUGAACUCAUUUACAAAUAAAUACGGAAAAGAUUUAUGUAUAAAGAUUUUUAUAAGCUAAACUUAAGAAUUUACAAGUAGAAAAUGGUGGAUUAAAGAGAGAAAGAGAAGGGAGAAGAAAAAGAAUAGAAUGCCAAAAGAAUGCUUAAAACUAAUUACAAUAAAGGUUUAAAUAGAAAAAUUUUGAAUAGUAAUUAUGUACAGUUUCUGUUAUAGUGUAUAGUAAAAUUUUAUUUAAAGUAUUGUUACAGUGAUUUCAAUGAUAAGUCUCUAUCUUUUUCUGUUACAGUGAUUGUUACAGUUGACUCUUAUAAUUUUUUUUUGUCUGCUAGUCUCUAAAGCUGAGUGAACUUAUUAUUUUGUAUCGGCAGUUAGCUUAUCUUUGUUUGGAAUAUGUAUAGUAAUUAUCCUUCCAUAAUAUUGUUUAUGUUAUAGAGUUCUUCAUCCAGUGCAUUAAGAGAUUGGGAUGAUAGAGGAGAUCUAAAAUGUGAUUUGUUCCAUAUUUACCAUCCUUCUUGGUACUAGUAUAGUAAUUAUGUGGGAUGAUCUAGAUCUUUCAUGGUAGAUAAUUUUUCCAGUAGCUGGAUUACUUCUAGUUCAUUUUGAAUGUCCAGAUCUUCAUGUGGUUCAAUAAAUCUAAGGACAAAAAUUCGUCUGACAUCUGUCCAGCAGGCUAUUUUAAGGUAAUCUGGUUUUGUAGCUAAACGGAGAAAGAAUUUUGCUUUUUCCAUUAGGUCAAUUCCUGUUUGAAAAUGAUAACUGUUUGAGUUUAAAUAUUUAGUGAUGGUUUUGUUUAAAUCAUUUGAGAAAUCGAUAUGCUCUGUUGGUGGAUCAAGUAUGGUAAGCGGUUGUAGAAAAUGUCUAUCGGAUAUUCUAUCAAAUUCUCAUAUUUGAUAUGGUUGGUAAAAUCUUUCUCUUUGAAAGGAACCCAAAAGAUUGUAUAUAGUAAAAUAGAUGUAAUAAAAAUGUUUUGAACAUUUUAUACAUCCGUAAAAGUGAUGCUUUAUAAAAACAGAAAAAUCUUUUAAAAGAUGAAAAGAAAAGUUUUGUACAGUAAUUUGUCUGACUAAACCAAGUUCAAUGGUUUUUACAUCAAAAGUUUCAUGAUCGAGUUGAAAUUUAAUUUUCGGUAUAAAUUCACCGAGUGCAAUAUUAUACAUAUAAGUAGAAGUAUAAUAAUAAAAAAAAAUUUAUCAACAAUUUUCUGCUAACUGUAGAAUAGAAGAAUUAAUUUACUGAAAUAAUUUCUUGGUUAAGAAUACCGUAGCUUUUUUAAAAAGAAGGAUUCUUAUAAGCUUGUUUAGCUUAGAGGAAUUAUAAUUCUCUUUUUCAAGAUAUUCACAUAAAUUCAAAAAAUUGUUUAUCUCUUAAAUAUUGUACUGAUUUUCUUCCAAAGCAAAGAAAUCAAUAUCUUGUUAUUUUAGCAGAUUUGUUGAUAGAAGGCUUUGAAAAGUUAUUUUUUUAAAACUCUGAAAUUUUUUAACCUGGUUGACUAAGAAUUCAGCUAAUUUGGUCAUUCCUUUUCGAAAGCUAGAUUUAUUUUCUGAGAGAUGGGAUUUCCAAACAUUGUUUAACAAACUGUAGACUUAUGGUUCAAGUCAAGGUUAUAAAAAUUUUUGAUCUCUGGGUUAGAGAGUUUUGUUCUUUUAAGCAGUUGUUUUGCUGAAAAAACUAUUUGAGAGUAACUCAUGGGUGUCCAUUCAUUUUGAUCUUGAGUGAAUUGAGAGAAUUCUGGUUGAAUCCUCAUGAAAGGAGGUCUGUAAAGUGGUUGUUGGUAGAGAUAUAAUCCUUGGUUAGGAUUAUUGUAAAAACUAAAUCCUGGGUUAGGAUUUGUAGAGAAAACAUGGGGUCUUGGAGAAGUAGAAGAAGAUGAAGGCUUUUUACCUGUUUUCUUCUUGAUUGUUCUCCAUUCUUUUGUAUCUUGGAGAAGUUGUUUUCCUCGAUCCAUUGGGUCGGCUCAAAUAGUUUGCUAAGAGGUUUUUGUCUCCGUUGAUGAACUCUACCUGAAAAUGAUAUUGAUAAAAAAAAAUUGUACCACCUAAUAUGCCUGGGAUUAUCAUAAAGCUUUUUAUUUUAAAGAAAGUUUCUUACUGAUUGGUUAUCUGUUCGGAUAACAAAGAUCUUAGGGGCUAAAUAGAUGUGGAAUCAUUGUACACCAUUUUUUAUGGCUAAUAAUUCUUUUUCAAAGAUAAUAUAAUUUAUUUCAUUCGGUUUGAAUUUACUGAAAUUGUAGCCAAAAAUCAAUUAAUCUUUUUUAUAAAGAUUUUUUACUUUAAAGACACAUCCCCAAUGUUCUUCAUUGGCAUUUAUCUUUAAAAUCAAUAGGCCACCUUGUUUAGGUAGAAAAAGCUUUGAAAUAUAGGUUAGCUCUGAUUUAAUUUGUUUGACAAUAUUAGAGUCUGUUGGUGUCCAGACAAAAUCAUUAUCUUUAUGUAAUUUACGCAAAAAGAUAGCUUUCUUUUUUAGAAAAGUUUUUGAAAAAUUACCUGCCAUAAUUAAGUAUACCUAACAGCUAUUGUAGCUGUUUGACAUUAUCCAGUUGUUCUGAAAACUUCUUGAUCUUCGAGAUAAUGUGAUCCUGCAAUGUUAGUCCAUUUGUAGAUAAGUUGAGACCAAUAAAUUCUAUGUCAAUUUUUUCAAGUUCUACCUUUUUGGGACUCAAAAUAAUACCAUGUAAAAUAAAUUCUUGAGCGAUAAUGUUCAGGUAUUUCCUAUGCUCAUCCAAAGUAUUAGAAAAUACUAAAAUAUCAUCUAUAUAAACACAGUAAAAUUAUUUUAUGUUUACUGAAAAUAUUAUCCAUCCAACGUUGAAAGAUUUGAAGGGCAUUGCAUAGACCGAAAGGCAUAACAGGCCAUUGGUAGUGACCUGUUAGUGCACUAAAAGCAAUUAAGGAUUUGGAUAAAUCUGUAAGCAUGAUUUGCCAAAAGUCAGAUUUACAAUCAAAUUUAGAAAAAAAUUUAGCAUUUUUAGCUAAAUUUAUCAAAACAUCUAUUCGAAGAAUAAAAUAGCCAUCAAAAAUAAGAUUUUGAUUUAAUUUCUUAUAAUUGAUAACCAUUCGGGGUUUACCUCUUUUAAUUUCAGAAUGGUUUCUUACCAAAAAAGCUGGACUAGAGUGAGGGCUAGUAGUUGGUUAUAUCAGACCUCUGUCGAGUAAUUUUGAAAUUUGAAGUUCGAAUUCAUCUAUAUCCUACUUGGUAUAGAUCAUGGGUUUUACUCUGAUAAUCUCUUUUGGAUCAUGAAGAGUAAGUUCACAGUAUCUUGGACUUUGUUUCCAAAGCUUCAAUGGGUCUUCACUAAAGUUUUUCUAUUCCAUGCUGAGUGGAUUAUCUCCUGCAAAUAUAAAAAUUUGAGCAUUAUCUGUAUUACCUGUAUGGCACAUACUGUUUGCUUGUCGGAGGUUUCUAUACUGUUUAUACUGUGAAAACCUAAAAAAAGAACUUUGAUAAGGAGUAUAAAAAGAUUGAUUACUAGUUAUGCUUUUUAUAUCAUCAUUUUGUUAAUGAUCAAAAGCAUUAGUAGGGGGUAAAACCAAAUUGGGAUUAAAACUGGUUGAUGCAUAUAGAUUUUUGAAGUAAAGAUUUUUUUCUGAUGAGAAAAAUUCUAAACUUGGUACUUUUUGUUUUUCAGAAAUAGUAGAGAUAUCUUCGAGACACCAUUAUUUUAGGAUAGAUAAGUCUGUGAUGUUAACCAAUUUUGGUUUGAUUUUUGAAUCAAAACUAUUCGGUUCAAAAAUCUCAAUAAUACUGGAAUCUAUCGAUAUGAUAAAAGUAUUUGUAGUAUUUGUAAAUUCAUAAACUAUUGAUAAGUUGAUUGAAAGGUCAUGCAAAUUAGAUUCAAUAUCAUAAUUGGUUAUUUUGAUACGAAGACACAAACAUUUUUCAAUGUUUUAGUCAAAAAUAGAAAUAAAAUAGUCUGGUUUAACUUUAAAUAAAAUUACUCAUGCUGCUAAAUUAGAUUGGAUUCCACCAAUUACAACAUUAGCAAGAUUUUUAAAACGGUUAUCCAUUAAAACAGCUAUGAUGGGAAAAUCUUUUGUAGAUAAAAAUAGUGGUUUAAUGGUGAUCAAAAUCAUACCUAUAGGUUGUAUUUGAACUUUAGAUAUUUAGAAAGAAAAUAGUUUUUUUUUUUUUAGUAAAAAGAUGAAUUUCUACCGAUCCUUAUUUAGAAUCAUUAGCAACUGUAUCACCAGAUAGUUUUUCUAUAUAGCGCUUAUACCAGAGUUGGAAUUUUUUAAAUCAACUUGUUUUGUAAAUCUGAUCUGGUUUGAUGAAUUGUAAUUAUUUGAUUUUUUCUUUAGAAAUAGAAUGAGUUUUUCUCAUAAUAUUUUUGAGUUUAAGCAUACCUUCGCCUUCAGUAAUUGUUGUACCUGCUGAAGAGGCAACUGAAACAUUAUCUUGGUUAGAUUUAGUAUUCAGCAUAAAAAGAAAAUCAGAUUCAUCGUUAGAAGAACUGUAAUCAAUUUCUGAAAAACUUCAUAAUAGACUUCUUCGUCAGACAAUUCAUCUGUAAAAAAAAUUUGAAGAAAAUUUUCAUUAAGUUUUUUGAUCAUUUUCUUAGCACUUUUCCUUUUAUUAGGGCAAUUGUUUGCAUAGUGACUUUCUUGACCACAAAGAAAAUAUUUGCAUCUUUUAGAAGAUUUUUUCUUCUUUAUAACAACAAAUUUACCUUUUUUAAGUUUAAAAGUUGUAGUGGGUUUCCACUUUUUUCCAAAGAUAUUUUUGUUUUUUCUUAAAACGAUUUUUCUUUGAGAAAGAUUGUUUAUUGCAACCAAAUUCAAAUUCAUUUACUAAAAUCUUUGUACAUUGUUUAUACGAAAGUUUGGACCUUACCUACUUAGCAGCUUUUUGCUUGAGGCAAUAUUCUGUGAUUUGAGUCUAAACAUAGUGUAUUCUAUAUCCAAGAGUAUCAUAGAGUUCGAUACUGAGAUUUGAAGCAUGAACUAUUUUGAGUUUUAACUCUAAAUAAACAGGAUAAUUUUGUAAACAUAAUUCAUCCCAUGGUGAGGGAAGUUUGAGAAAAUACUAUUGUAACCAAAACUUUGAAUGUUUUUCAUCCAAUUUUUGAUAUUCAAAAAGAUAUCUUUUAGAGAAAUCAACAAGAUAUCUUUUAGAGAAAUCAACAAGAUUUCGAAUAGCACAUAGUUUUAAUUUUGAUAAAGUAAAUUGAGCUUCUUGAGUGGGAUCCAGAGAUUCUGUGCUUUCACAAAACUCAUUUUUCAAGAUUUGGGCUAAAUCUUUUAGUAAUUGAGGAAUAUUUCUUGCGGCUAAUAACGUUGAUUUUUGCUGUUCUCUGAAGGUUGUUGUUUUUCAUUUUUUGAGAAAUUAUAGGACAUCACCUUGCCAUGUGCCACAAAAGUAAUUAAGAAAUUGUUCUUUGUUCCAUUGCUCCUUGUAACCUGUGACAACAAUAGACAUAGAUUGUGCCCAAUUGUCUAUGAUUUUUUUAUAGUCUUUGAGAGGAACUUUGGUUAAAUUCAAAUAAGAACCAUAUUGAGAAACUGUUCGUUUGUUUAGCGAAUCAAUGACAGGGUUUUGAUCUUAACCUGACUUGUUUUGGCCAGAUUCAGAUGUUUAUUUUAUCUCAUCCUUGUUUAGGUGCGAAUAUUUUUCUUUCAAAUGAGGAAGGUGUUGAUCCAUUAUAUCCGGAUCUAGCAAAUCUAAAAAUCUUAAAGUAUCAUCAAUAUCUAGGUUAGAUAUUACAAAUGCUUUUCUCUUCCCACGCUCUUCUAGUUGAAGGAUAAGAAUUUGACUUGGUUCUGGAUCUGGUUGAUCAUCAAAACUAUCAGUGUCAUCUGAUGUGGUUUCAUCUGAUGAAACUGGUUCAUCCUUGACUAUUGGAUUAGUAGUAAGAAUCUCAAAAUUAUCUGCUACUAAAUUAUCAUUUGCUUCUUCACCACAAACACUGGUUGUGCCAUAGUUAAGCAUAUAAUGAUAAUUAUACUUAAUAAAAAGUCUUUUUUGUUCUUCAUAAAAAGUCUUUAUAGCUUGAAGAUAAUCAAUCCGUUGUUGCGGAUAUUCAAUUUUUUUCAUUUUAGACUUAAAAUUUUCAAUAAUAUAUUUAUAAGAGUCGAAAUCAAGUUUUUCUUGUUUCUCCUUUACUAAGGAAGAUGAAGGUUUUUCAUCAUUCAUCAUAACAUUACCAUAAUAAAAAAGUCCAAAGUCUAUAAAUGUAUAUGAAGGAACAUGUCUUUGGUCUAUCUUUUCUACAAGCAAAUUUACUUUAUCUUCUAUAUUAUCAAUUUUUAUAAAAAGUUUAUGAAAGAAAAAAGAAGUUAAAUCUAUUAAACCAUUUAUAGUUCUACUUAUGCUAAUAUUACUAGAUUCACACUUAGGAUCUAUAUGUAAAUCAUGAUUAUAAGACUUAUCUUUACAGAUACAAGUAUUUUUCUCAUAAGUUUCCAUGUUUCUGAUGCUUAAAACUGGUGUGUUGUUCUGAAAAUGCUAGCAAACAAGGUAACCUAAGCCACAAACGCCAGCAAACAACUCAGAUAUGCAUGUAUGAGCUUUAAAACAAAGAGCUUAAGAAGAAGAUGCAAGUAAAAGGAAAGAAAAUCUUACAAGAUUAAGUCAGGUUAAGAUCGAAACCCCUAUCAUAGAUUUAUUAAACAAACGAACGAUUUCUCAAUGCGAUACUUAUUUGGAUUUAACCAAAGUCCUUCUCAAGACUAUGGAAAAACCAUAGAUGAUUGGGCACAAUCUAUGUCUAUUAUUGGCACAGGUUACAAGAAGUAAUGGAACAAAGAACGAUUUCUCCAACAUAUAUGUUAAAAUAGUAAGAUAUUGAUUUUUCUAUUUAAACCUUCACUGUAAUUAGUUUUAGGCAUUCUUUUGGCAUUCUACUAUUUUUUUUCUCUCUUAUCUUUCUUUUUUUAAUCCAUACUCCUCUACUUGUAAAUUCUUAAGUUUAGCUUGUAAAAGCCUUUAUACAUAGAUCUUUUUCACAUCCCCUUGUAAAUGGUAUCAGAGCUUUAGGCUUGUACAAAGAUUUACUAAGCUUGUAUUACAGAUUCAACAAUAACGAUCUACUUGUUAUUCAUCUUGUAAAAUUUUAUUUCCUUUUACUUGUAUCUUCUUCUUAAGCUCUUUGUUUCAAAGCUCAUACGUGCAUAUCUGAGUUGUUUGUUGGUGUUUAUGGCUUGAGUUACCUUGUUUGCUAGUGUUUUUAGAACAGUACACCGAUUUUAAGCACCAGAAACAUGGAAAUUUAUGAAAAAAAUACUUGUAUCUGUAAAGAUAAGUCUUAUAAUCAUGAUUUGCAUAUAGAUCCUAAGUAUGAAUCUAGUAAUAUUAGCAUAAGUAGAACUGUAAAUGAUUUAAUAGAUUUAAUUUCUUCUUUCUUUCAUAAACUUUUUGUAAAAAUAGAUAAUAUAGAAGAUAAAUUAGAUUUGCUUAUAGAAAAGAUAGACCAAAUACAUGUUCCUCCAGAUACAUCUACAGACUUUGGACCUCUUUGUUAUGGUAAUGUUAUGAUGAAUGAUGAAAAUCCUUCAUCUUUCUUGGCAAAGAAAAAAUAAGAAAAACUUGAUUUCGACUCUUAUAAAUAUAUUAUUAAAAAUUUUAAGUCUGAAAAAGAAAAAAGUAAAUAUCCGUAACAACGAAUUGAUUAUCUUCAAGCUAUAAAGACUCUUUAUGAAGAACAUAAAGGAGUCUUUAUUAAGUAUAAUUAUCAUUAUAUGCUUAACUAUAGCACAACCAGUGUCUGUGGUGAAUAAGCAAAUGAUAAUUUAAUAGUUGAUAAUUUUGAGAUUCUUGCUACUAACCCAAUAGUCAAUGAUGAACCAGUUUCAUCAGAUGAAACCACAUCAGAUGAUACUAAUAGUUCUGAUGAUCAACCAAAACUAGAACUAAGUCAAAUUCUUAUUUCUUAACCAGAGGAGCUUGGGAAGAGAAAAGCCUCUGCAAUAUCUAACCUAGAUAUUGAUGAUACUUUAAGAUUUUCAGAUUUGCUAGAUCUAGAUAUAAUGGAUCAACAUCUUCCUCAUUUGAAAGAAAAAUAUUCUCACAUAAACAAAGAUGAGAUAAAAUAAACAUCUGAAUCUGAUCAAACAAGUUAGGUUAAGAUCAAAACCCCUGUCAUCAAUUCGCUAAACAAACAAACGGUUUCUCAAUGCGAUACUUAUUUGGAUUUAACCAAAGUCUCUUUCAAAGACUAUGAAAAAACCAUAGAUGAUUAAACAUAAUCUAUGUCUAUUGUUGUCACAGGUUACAAGGAGCAAUGGAACAAAAAACGAUUCCUCAACUACUUUUAUAGCACAUGACAAGGUGAUGUCUUGUAAUGUCUCAAAAAAUGAGAAACAAUAGCAAAAAUCAAUGUUGUUAGCCGCAGGAAAUAUUCCUCAAUUACUAAAAAUUUAACCCAAAUCAUGAAAAAUGAGUUUGUGAAGAAUAGAAUCUUUAGAUCCCACUUAAGAAGCUCAAUUUAUUUUAUCAAAAUUAAAACUAUGUGAUAUUCAAAAUCUUGAUGAUUUUUUCUAAAAAAAUACCUUUCUGAAUAUAAAAAAUUAGAUGAAAAACAUUCAAAGUUUUGGUUAUCACUUACAAACAGGAAUUGACCUAAUGGAAAAAAUAAAAUUCUUUCUCCAUUUAGCUACAAAACCUGAUUACCUCAAAAUAGCCUGCUGGACAAAUGGCUGAUGAAUUUUUAUCCUUAGAUUUAUUGAACCACAUGAAGAUCUAGACAUUUAAAAUGAACUAGAAGCAAUUCAGCUACUGAAAAAAUUAUCUACCAUGAAAGAUCUAGAUCAUUCCACAAAAUUACUAUACCAGUACCAAAAAGGAUGGCAAAUGUGAAACAAAUCACAUUCUGGAUCUCCUUCAUCGCCUUAGUCUCUUAAUGCACUGAUGAAAAACUCUAUAAUAUAAACAAUAUUAUGGAAGGAUAAUUACUGUGCAUAUUCCAAACAAGGAUAAGCCAAUUACCGACAUAAAACAGCAAGUUCACUUGGCUCUCGAGACUAGUAGACAGAAAAAACUAUAGCAGAUAGAAAAAAUAUCACUGUAGCAGUCACUGUAGUAGAAAAAGAUAAAGACCUAUCAUCGAAAUCAUUGUAGCAGGUCACUAUAGCAGUACUGUAGAUAAAAAUUCUAUUGUACACUGUAGCGAAAAUGGUACAUAGUCACUAUUUAGAAUUUUUCUAUUUAAACCUUUGCUGUAAUUAGUUUUAGGCAUUUUUUUGGCAUUCUACUUUUUUUUCUCUCUUAUCUUUCUCUCUUUAAUCCACCAUCCUCUACUUGUAAAUUCUUAAGUUUAGCUUGUAAAAACCUUUAUACAUAGAUCUUUUUCGCAUCCCUUUGUAAAUGGUAUCAGAGCUUUAGGCUUGUAAAAAAGUUUGCUAGCUUGUAUUAUAGAUUCAGUAAUAAUGAUCUAUUUGUGAUUCAUCUUGUAAGAUUUUUUCUCUUUUUACUUGCAUCUUCUUCUUAAGUUCUUUGUUUCAAAGCUCAUACGUGCAUAUCUGAGUUGUUUGCUGGCGUUUGUGGCUUGAGUUUCCUUGUUUGCUAGUGUUUUCAAAACAGUACACCGAUUUUAGGCACCAAAAAUAUAAAAACUUAUGAAAAAAAUACUUAUAUCUAUAAAGAUAAGUCUUAUAUUCAUGAUUUGCAUAUAUAUCCUAAAUAUGAAUCUAGUAAUAUUAGCAUAUGUAGAAUUGUAAAUGGUUUAAUAAAUUUAACUUCUUUUUUCUUUCAUAAACUUUAUGUAAAAAUGGAUAAUAUAGAAGAUAAAGUAUAUUUGUUUGUAAAAAAGAUAGACCAAAGACAUGUUCCUUUAGAUACAUCUAUAGACUUUGGACCUCUUUUAUUAUGGUAAUGUUAUGAUGAAUGAUGAAAAACCUUCAUCUUCCUUAGCAAAGGAGAAAUAAAAAAAACUUGAUUUCGACUCUUAUAAAUAUAUUAUUGAAAAUUUUAAGUCUAAAAUAAAAAAAAUUGAAGAUUCGUAACAACAGAUUGAUUAUCUUUAAGCUAUAGAGACUCUUUAUGAAGAACAUAAAGGACUCUUUAUUAAGUAUAAUUAUCAUUAUAUGCUUAACUAUGACACAACUAGUAUCUGUGGUGAAAAAGCAAAUGAUAAUUUAGUAGUUGAUAAUUUUGAGAUUCUUGCUACUAACCCAGUAGUCAAAGAUGAACCAGUUUCAUCAGAUGAAACCAUAUCAGAUGACACUGAUAGUUCUGAUGAUCAACUAGAUCCAGAACCAAGUUAAAUUCCUAUCCCUCAACCAGAAAAACGUAGGAAAAGAAAAGCAUCUACAAUAUCUAACCCAGAUAUUGAUGAUACUUUAAGAUUUUUAGAUUUGCUAGAUCUAGAUAUAAUAGAUCAACAUCUUCCUCAUUUGAAAGAAAAAAAUUCUCACCUAAACAAGGAUGAGAUAAAACAAACAUAUGAAUCUAACUAAACAAGUUAGGUUAAGAUCGAAACCCCUAUCAUCGAUUCAUUAAACAAACGAACGAUUUCUCAAGGCGGUACUUAUUUGGAUUUAACCAAAGUCCAACUCAAAGACUAUAGAAAAAUCAUAAACAAUUGGGCAUAAUCUAUGUCUAUUGUUGUCAUUGGUUACAAGAAGCAAUGGAACAAAAAAUGAUUCUUCAACUACUUUUGUGGCACAUGGCAAGGUUAUGUCCUACAAUUUCUCAAAAAAUAAGAAACAACCCUUGGAGAAUAGCAAAAAUCAACGUUGUUAGCCACAAAAAAUAUUCCUUAAUUACUAAAAGAUUUAACCCAAAUCUUGAAAAAUGAGUUUUGUGGAAGCACAAAAUCUCUGGAUCCCACUCAAGAAGCUCAAUUUAUUUUAUCAAAAUUAAAACUAUGUGAUAUUCAAAAUCUUGAUGAUUUCUCUAAAAAAUAUCUUUUUAAAUAUAAAAAUUGGAUGAAAAACAUUCAAAGUUUUGGUUACAAUAGUAUUUUCUCAAACUUCCCUCACCAUAGGAUAAAUUAUGUUCACAAAAUUAUCCUGUUUAUUUAGAGUUAAAACUCAAAAUAGUUCAUGCUUCAAAUCUCAAUAUCGAACUCUAUGAUACUCUUGGAUGUAAAAUACGCUACGUUUAAAUUCAGAUUACAGAAUAUUACCUCAAGCAAAAAACUGCUAAGCAAGUAAAGUCCAAACUUUCGUAUAAACAAUGUACAAAGAUUUUUGGAAAAUGAAUUUGAAUUUGGUUGUAAUAAACAGUAUUUCUCAAUGAAAAAUCAUUUUAAGAAAAAACAAAAAUAUCUUUGGAAAAAGUGGAAACCCACUACAACUUUUAAACCUAAAAAAGGUAAAUUUGUUGUCAAAAAGAAGAAAAAAUCUUCUAAAACAUACAAAUAUAUUUUUUGUGAUAAAAAAGGUCACUAUGCAAACAAUUGCCCUAACAAAGGGAAAAGUGCUAAGAAAAUGAUAAAAAAACUUGAUGAAAAUUUUCUUCAAAUUUCUUUUGCAGAUGAAUUGUCUGACGAAGAAAUCUAUUAUGAAGUUUUUCAAAAACUGAUUAUAGUUCUUCUGACGAUGAAUCUGAUUUUAUUUUUAUGCUGAAUAUUGAAUCUAAUCAAGAUAAUGUUUCAAGUUGCCUUUUUAGUAGGUACAACAAUUACUGAAGGCGAAGGUAUGCUUAAACUAAAAAAUAUUAUGAGAAAAACUAAUUCUAUUUCUGAAAAAAAAAAUCAAAGAAUUACAACUCAUCAAACUAGAUAAGAUUUACAAAACAAGUUGGUUUAAAAAAUUCCAACCCUGGUAUAAACACCAUAUAAAAAAUCUAUCUGGUGAUACAGUUGCUAACGAUUCUAAAUAAGGAUCAGUAGAAAUUUUCUUUUUACUAAAAAGAAAAUAAACCAUUUUCUUUCUAAAUAUCCAAAGGUCAAAUACAUCCACAUAGGUAUGAUUUUGAUCACCAUUAAACCACUAUUUUUAUCUAUAAAAGAAAUUCCAAUCAUAGCUGUUUUAAUGGAUAACCAUUUUAAAAAUUCUGCAAUGCUGUAAUUGGUGAAUCCAAUCCAAUUUAGCAGCAUGAGUAAUUUUAUUUAAAGUUAAACCAAACUAUUUUAUUUCUAUUUUUGACGAAAACAUUGAAAAAUGUUUGUCUUCUUAUCAAAAUAACCAAUUAUGAUAUUGAAUCUAAUUUGCAUGACCUUUCAAUCAACUGGUUAGCAGUUUAUGAAUUUACAAAUACUACAAAUACUUCUAUCAAACCGAUGAUUGCAAUAUUAUUGAGAUUUUUUAACCGAAUAGUUUUGAUUUAGAAAUCAAACCAAAAUUGGUUAACAUUGCAGACUUAUCUAUCCCAAAAGGAUGGUGUCUCGAAGAUAUCUCUACUACUUCUGAAAAACAGAAAGUACCAAGUUUAGAAUUUUUCUUAUCAGGAAAAAAUCUUUAUUUCAAAAAUUCACAUGUAUCAACCAGUUUUAAUCCUAAUCUGGUUUUACCCCCUACUAAUACUUUUGAUCAUCAACAAGAUGAUGAUAUAGAGAGUAUAACUUCUAAUCAAUCUUUUUGUACUCCUUAUCGAAGUUCUUUUUCAAGUUUACACAAUACAAACAGUACAGAAACCCUCCGACGAGCAAAUAGUAUGUGCCAUACAGGUAAUACAGAUAAUGCUCAAAUUCUUAUAUUUGCAUGAAAUAAUCCAUCUCAGCCUGAAACAGGUGAUAACCAAUCCUUUUAUCAUUCUGUUUAUUCUGUUUUAAAUUCACACACUUUUUUUUUUCUAGAAACACUAACAAUGAAGAAAUCAAAAUGUUUCCAGAACAACUGGAUAAUGUAAAACAGCUACAACAGCUACAACAGCUGUUAGGUAUAGUUAAUUAUGGCAAGUAAUUUUUUAAAAAUUUUUCUAAAAAAAAAGAUAUAUUUUGCGUAAAUUACGUAAAGAUAAUGAUUUUGUUUGGACACUAACCGACUCUAAUAUUAUCAAACAAAUCAAAUCAGAGCUAACCUAUAUUCCAAAGGUUUAUCUACCUAAACAAGGUGACCUAUUGAUUUAGAGAUAGAUGCCAGUGAAGAACAUUAGGGAUGUGUUCUUAAAGCAAAAAAUCUUCAUAAAAAAGAUGAAUUAAUUUGUGGCUACAAUUUCGGUAAAUUCAAAUCGAAUGAAAUAAAUUAUACUAUCUUUGAAAAAGAAUUAUUAACCAUAAAAAAUGGUGUACAUCGAUUUCACAUCUAUUUAGCCCCUAAGAUCUUUGUUAUUCGAAUAGAUAACCAAGCAGUAAGAAACUUCCUUCAAAAUAAAAAGCUUUCUAAUAGUCCCAGGCGUAUUUGAUGGUACAAUUUUCUUUGUUAAUAUCAUUUUCAGGUAGAGUUCAUCAACAGAGACAAAAACCUCUUAACAUACUAUCUGAGUCGAUCCAAUGGAUCGAGGAAAACAACCUCUCCAGGAUACAGGAGAAUGGAGAACAAUAAAAAAAAAAACAGGUAAAAAGCCUUAAUCUUCUUCUACUUCUCCAAGAGCCCCUGUUUUCUCUACAAAUCCUAACCCAAGAUUUAGUUUUUACAAUAAUCCUAACCAAGGAUUAUAUCUUUACCAAUAACCAUUUUACAGACCUCAUUUCAUGAAGAUUCAGCUAGAAUUCUUUCAAUUCGCUCAAGAUCCAAAUGAAUGGAUACUUAUGAGUUACUCUCAAAUAGUUUCUUCAGCAGAACAACUGCUUGAAAGAACAAAACUCUCUAACCCAAAGAUCAAAGAUUUUUAUAACCCUGAACUUGAACCACAAGUUUACAGUUUGUUAAACAAUGUUUGAAAAUCUUAUCUCUCAGAAAACAAAUCCAACUUUCGAAAAGGAAUGACUAAAUUAGCUGAAUUCUUAGUCAACCAAGCUAAAGAAUUACAGAGUUUUAAAGAAAUAGCUUUCUAAAGCCUUCUAUCAACAAAUCUGCUAAAACAACAAGAUAUUGAUUUCUUUGCUUUGAAAGAAAAUCAAUACAGUAUUCACGAGAUAAACAAUUUCUUGACUUUAUGUGAAUAUCUUGAAAAAGAGAAUUAUAAUUCUUCUAAGCUAAACAAGCUUAAGAGAAUCUCUUUUUUUUUUUGAAAAAGUUACGGUAUUCCUAACUAAGGAAUUGUUCCAGUAAAUUAAUUCUUCUAUUCUACAGUCAACAGAAAAACUGUUGAUAGAAAAUUUUUUUGAUUAUUAUACUUCUACUUAUAUGUAUAAUACUGCACUUGGUGAAUUUAUACCAAAAAUCAACUUUUGACUCGAUCAUGAAACCUUUGAUGUAAAAAGUAUUGAACUUUGUUUAGUCAGACAAAUUACUGUAUAAAACUUUUCUUUUCAUCUUUUAAAAUAUUUCUCUACUUUUAUAAAGCAUCAUUUUUACGGAUGUAUAAAAUGGUCAAAAUAUUUUUAUUACAUCCAUUUUACUAUAUACAGUCUUUUGGGUACCUUUCCAAGAGAAAGAUUUUAUCAACCAUAUCAAAUAUGAGAAUUUGAUAAAAUAUCUGGUGGAUAUUUUCUACAACCCCUUACCAUACUUGAUCCAUCAACAGACCAUAUCGAUUUUUCAGAAGAUUUAAACAAAAUCAUCACUAAAUAUUCAAACCCAAACAGUUAUCACUUCCAAACAGGAAUUGACCUAAUGGAAAAAAUAAAAUUCUUUCUCCAUUUAGCUACAAAAUUAGAUUACCCUAAAAUAGCCUGCUGGACAGAUGGUAGAUGAAUUUUUAUCCUUAGAUUUAUUAAACCACAUGAAGAUCUGGACAUUCAAAAUGAACCAGAAGCAAUCUAGCUACUGAAAAAAUUAUCUACCAUGGAAAAUCUAGAUCAUUCCAUAAAAUUACUAUACCAGUACCAAGAAGGAUGGUAAAUGUGAAACAAAUCACAUUCUAGAUCUCCUUCAUCGCCCUAGUCUUUUAAUGCACUAGACGAAGAACUCUAUAAUAUAAACAAUAUUAUGAAAGGAUAAUUACUGUGCAUAUUCCAAACAAGGAUAAGCCAACUGCCGACACAAAACAACAAGUUCACUUGGCUCUUGAGACUAGUAGACAGAAAAAACUAUAGCAUAUAGAAAAAACAUCACUGUAGCAAUCACUGUAGUAGAAAGAGAUAGAGACCUACCAUCGAAAUCACUGUAGCAGUACUAUAGAUAAAAAUUCUACUGUACAUUGUAGCGAAAACUGUACAUAGUCACUAUUUAAAAUUUUUCUAUUUAAACCUUCGCUGUAAUUAGUUUUAGGCAUUCUUUUGGCAUUAUACUCUUUUUCUUCUCUCUUAUCUUUCUCUCUUUAAUCCACCAUCCUCUACUUGUAAAUUCUUAAGUUUAGUUUGUAAAAACCUUUAUACAUAGAUCUUUUCCGCAUCCCUUUGUAAAUGGUAUUAGAGCUUUAAGCUUGUACAAAAGUUUGCUAAGCUUGUAUUACAGAUUCAGCAAUAACGAUUUAUUUGUUAUUCAUCUUGUAAGAUUUUAUUUUCUUUUACUUGCAUCUUCUUCUUAAGCUCUUUGUUUCAAAGCUCAUACGUGUAUAUCUGAGUUGCUUGCUAGCGAUUGUGGCUUAAGUUGUCUUAUUUGCUAACAAUUUCAGAAUAGCACACCAAUUUUAAGCACAAAAAACAUGAAAACUUACGAAGAAAAUACUUGUAUCCUCUCUCUCUCUCCCUACUUCUUCUUUAUUGAAUUUUGAAGUUUCUAUGAUUUUUUAUUUUAUUUCUGAUUAUUGAAUUGUGAAAUGAAUCCAUUUUACCGGUAGCUUACUUGCAAAUUCUUAUUUCAGUUAUUCAACUUUUUUCUUUUCCUCUCUCUAACGAAAACUGAAAAAGAGAAGAAAGUAUAUCACUCCCAGGUGAAUAUUGCCUUGCUUCCUUGACACCCUUAUAUAUAUAUAUAUAUAUAUAUAUAUAUAUAUAUAUAUUCUCUCUUUGUUGCCUAUCAUUCAUAGUCAUAACUUAACAAAAAUGACCUAUCAAGCAAAAAAGCCAAAAACAAAAGCAUGGUUCAACACCAUUGGCCAUGAAACCAUGCCAAAAUUUGAAGUUUUUAAAAGGUUCAGGCGUUUGAGACUCUUUGAGCCAUGUUUGGGGGUUCUUGGCUUCUUCUUUGUUGCUGUUUUUGUGAUUUGUUGUUUCUUUUACUUGGAUUAUAGAGUUGUGUCUAAAGGGUAUAGAGUUCCUAGUCAGUCACAUGGAUUUAUGUGGCUUAAACUAGAUGGGUCUUCUUCAAGUGAGAUUAAAAAAGUUGAUUUCUUGAGCCAGGAAGGUAAAAGGUGUGAUGUGUUUGGUGGUGAUUGGGUGUGGGAUGAAACUUAUCCUCUUUAUGAAUCCAGAGAUUGCAGCUUUCUUGAUGAAGGAUUUAGGUGUACUGAAAAUGGAAGGCCAGAUUUGUUCUACACCAAAUGGAGAUGGCAGCCUAAGCAUUGUAACCUUCCCAGGUUUUUAUUUUUCUUGAUUAUUUUAUUUUUAUUUUUUUUUUCAUUCUCUUACACUUUUUGGUUGCUGAGGAAUUAACGGGAAACAAAAGACAGAUGAAGAAAAUUUUGAUUAUUAUUAGAGCCUGAUUUACGGAAAGUUUUGAAGUUUUGAAGUUUUGGAAGCAAUAGCGACAGAAGCUAUGAAGAUUGAGUGGUUUUGAAAUGUAUUAUUUUUAUUAAUUUUGUUGGUUUAGUGCAGUCUACUUGUGGUGUUUGAGUUUCAUUGACAACUAGCCAUUUUUCUUUGGUUUUUUUCCGUAUACGCUCUUAGGCUUAAUCAUAAAGCUUUAAAAAUUAUCUGUACAAAUGAAAAUGACAGCUGUUCAAUGUUCUUUUUCUUUUUAUGUAUUUUGGUUCCUAAUUAAUUUCACUUCUUUUCCUGAUAGAUUUUCAAAGCAAGUUGGUUCACAAGUGGUUGGACUUAGUGCGAAUUUGACUAUGGUUUCCCGUGAUUUUAUUAAAAUUUUGUCUUUUCUUUCCAGUCAACUUCAUCAUUGUUCAUUUCUGUAUCUGUUCCUUUCUCAUAAUUUUGUGGCCAUGUUCUGCCGUGGGUAAGCCUCAACCGUGAACACAUAAGGAUUUGAAGCUUUUUUAAACAAUGAAGGCAAAAUUAGCUUUCUCUUUGUAGUAAUUGAAAUCGGCUAAUUACCAUUUACCGAUAUACUAAAGAUUACUUUAAUACUGUAUUUCUUGAGUUAUUACUAGUAACUGGUUAAUUAUUCAAAUACUAUUCAUAUUCUACUGCUGCUCUUUGAUGGCAUUCUCUUAAAUUUUAAGUUUUAUUUCUGACUUUUAUAUCCUAGAAGGCUUGUGACCCUUCUUUUAUUUGUGGUUGUUGACUUAUCUUUGAUUCUUCUCAUCAUUGUAGCAUUAUUUGGCAAUUGCCAAUGGAAAAUAUAAGGAUUUGAGAAUACUUGAUUGUGUUUGUUAUUUGUUCAUGAAGGUUUAUUUAUUUGUUUUACUUUCAUGGAUAAAACAGAUUUGAUGGAAAAUUGAUGUUAGAGAAGUUGCGAAACAAGCGAUUGGUUUUUGUUGGUGAUUCAAUUGGAAGAAAUCAAUGGGAAUCACUCCUCUGCAUGCUUGCUUCUGCAGUUCCCAAUAAAGAUUCUAUAUAUGAAGUGAAUGGCAGCCCAAUUACGAAGCAUAAAGGUUUCUUGGUAUUCAAGUUCAAGGGUUAUAAUUGCACCGUGGAGUAUUAUAGAGCUCCUUUUCUUGUCCUGCAGAGCAGGCCUCCCGCUGGGUCUUCGGAAAAGAUCAAGACAACACUUAAACUGGAUCAAAUGGAAUGGAAUUCUUUUAGGUGGAAAGACGCAGAUUUAUUGGUCUUCAAUACCGGGCAUUGGUGGAAUUAUGAGAAGACCAUUAGAGGGUAAACUAUUUCUUUUGUUCUUAAGAUUCCUUAUCAUUGUGUCUAUAUUGUUGAUUUUAAUGCCAAGUUGAUGAGCUUAACUGGGUUAGCUUUGGAUACUAAAAAUUUCAUUAAAUCAAAGCAUGUGCGGGUUAGUAUUUGGUUUAUAUUGUAGUAAUAUUAUAUCUUUGGUAAAAAGAAAAAAAGAAAAAAAAUCUUCCAACGCAAACAUAAUGAAGAUCAGUUGCUUAUGAAAAAUGAGUUUUUUCAAGCAUGUUUUGGUGUCCCAAGAAAACAGCAAUUGAAUGACUGAAUGGCGUCCAGGAAGGAAUAUCAGAAUCUUGAUCAGCUUCUGAUAUGGAGGAUGCCUAGCGUAUCAAUGACGACUAGCUGCAGUUUUUGUAGAUUAGGAUGAUGGAGGGCCCUUAUGGUUCAUAUUCAUAAUUGGAAAUUUGUGGUUGUUAAUUGAAUGAUAGGAUGUGGUCCUGUGACAGCUCAACAAACUUGCUUUUGAAACAAGCUUCUUUCUGUAUCUUUUAUUAUUAUUAUUAUUUUUUUCACUUCAAUGAUAUGAUGAAUAACUCGAUGAUAUGAACAACAUUGCUUCUGCACUUGCAAUCAUGAUUUCAAACUGUAAAUUGCCGUUGGGUAAAGAAUUUAGCUGCCAAUUUGAUAUCUAAGAAGGUUCCAUCCAUAUUUUAAGUGUGACUAAACAGAGAAGGUAAUUUGUGGCAUUGAACUUUGCUUGCAUGCAUGGUUUGUUAAAUUAUAUUUCACCAUUUAAUGACAAUGAACACUACAUUUUCUCAUUUAUGAUUUGGAUGGCAUAUAAAUCCCAUGAAUGAAUUCUGGAUGGGACCUUUUGGAUUUUGUUUCUUACACAUGCAAGGGAGGAAGAUAUGAAAGAGAAGGCCAACUGUCAAUAGAAAUUGGGAGUCAGUCCUCGCAGUAAUCAUAAAUGCUUAAACUAGGUGGAAGUACUAUCAUUAUCUGUUCUUAAAUUUCCAUUUGUCGAUCAGGGGAUGUUACUUUCAAGAAGGGAAAAAAGUCAACAUGGAAAUGAGAGUAGAACAAGCAUAUAAAAGGUACAUAAUGAGGUGAAUUCAAGCAAGACCAAGGUCUUCUUCCGCACAUUUGCACCUGUACAUUUCAGGUUUGUUUUAAUUUUAUAGCUGUUUUACUGCUAACAUCCAUGGCAUAGUGCUCGUUUAGACCUCUGCACAUCUAUAUUACAUUCUCUGGACACCUUUUUUAGUAUUUUGGUCUCCUGGAAAGAGUUGGCAUAGGUAGAGAGACCUGGGAGAAAGUCCAGUGAGAAAUUUUAGGUUCUACCUUUUUUAAACAAGCUUGGAUGUCACUGAAAAAUUUGCUGUGUUUUUCAAACUAAAUCUAGAAAUGUAAGUUUUCCUGUCAAAAUCAGUGGAUUAAUUCUUAUGCUGCAUUCCUUAUGCAUUCAAGGCCUUGUUUAAACCAUUAAAUAUUUAAGGUAAAAGUUGAUCCUAAAGUUUACGACACAGUUUUUAGUUUCUUGAUCAAACUAUGAGACUGUUAUUUGGUCUCUCUUCUAAUAUGCACAUUCAUAUGUAGUUCAAAAUGCCUGCAUUAAUGCCACUUGUUUUGUAUCUAAAUAAACUUGAAUUACUCCUCAAGACUUGCCAAGGAAGAAUAAAAAAUUGUGUUUGACUUUUUUGAGUAGAUUUUAUAGGCAAUUGUGGAUUUUAUGGGAGUGGCUAAACUUUCUACAACUUCUCAGAGGAGGAGAUUGGACAAAUGGGGGAAGCUGCCACUUGGAGACACUGCCAGAGAUGGGUACAUCGCUAGUGCCAUCUGAAACUUGGGAACAAUUCAAAAUAGUCAGUGAUAUGUCAUCAGCUUACUCGAAUGCAUCAGAGGGUAUAAAAUUUGACAUACUAAAUGUUACUCGUAUGACGGCACAAAGGAAAGAUGGCCAUUCAUCUCUUUACUAUUUGGGUCCCAAGGAAAGUCCUGCUCCAAUUCAUCUGCAGGACUGCAGUCACUGGUGUCUACCAGGAGUGCCUGAUGCAUGGAAUGAGCUACUCUACGCAGUGAUCCUCAAGCAUUAUAUGAAUCAUACGUUCGUUCGACUCAUCAACAUAUGAAGCACAGGUUUGAUUGAGGAUGAAGCCUCUAAUAAUACACCUACUACGAAACAUAGGAAUUCCAUGAACAGAAAUGAAUCAGACUUCGCCACAAACAAAAAUGGGAGGUAGUUUAGAUUGAAUUUUUGCCAUAGUUCUAGGGUAAGGAUCAAAAGUGGCUCUAUGAUUUUGGCAGUGUUAGAUUAUGAAAAGAAAACAAGUUUCUUUUGGCUAGAUAGUUGAUAUUGAUUCAAGCAGCCCCAAUUUUAAGAGCAAUGAGUGGGCACGGAUUCAACCUAUGGGAAUAAAGCUGUAGAACAAUUUUACACAUUGGGUAUUCUGUUGUGAUCACGUAUUCCUUGGGAAAAAAAGAUGUAAUUAUUAUUAAAAAAAAAAAAAGAUAGCUGGUAAGCAUUAAUGCAGGUGACUUUGUGAUAUUAUUCCGGUGGCAUGAAUAUGAAAGUCUGAUGGCCGCAUGAGCCUUUUGCCAUCAUUGAAGAAAAAAAAUUCUGUUUCUCUUUGCAAGGUGAAAAUGUGAUGUUAGAGCGUUAGGUGGCAUGGGAUGGCAACGUAAUUCUGUUUAGAAGGACUAAUAGAUCUUACAUAGAAACAGGUACUGUCGAUUUGCAUUUGUUUGACAAAAUUUCAGUUGUGCGUCUAUGAUUUUUUGAUCUUGGAAUGUAUGAAUUUUUUUUUUAUCUCAUAAAUCUCACUCAUUCGGAUCCAAAAUUUUCAGAGUUAAGGAACUUUGGAGUCUCAGGUGUCCCACUGGGAUGACUGAACUCAUAAUCGGUCGACCCAUUGAUCCAUUUUAUCCUAAGAUGACUUUUUUUAAGUUAUCCGGUCUGGUUAUUUUCAUAUUGUUGCUGCUAGGAUUGCCGCAAGUCAUGAAGAUUACUACGUGCAUUUUUUUUUUUGGCCAAAUUACUACUUACUGCCGUCUUGAUUGCCAUUUUUUACCUAUUUCUCCGACACUAAUUUGUAAUUAUAUCCUCUUUGAAAAAAAAGGUCAAAGAUAAGCACUAAAAUAGAACAUGAACAAUGGGGAAUAGGAUCCACAACAGGUCCAAGCCCAUUUCUCUCUCUAAAACAAUUUAUAUCUUCGCUUCAAGCAUACAAAAAAUUUACAGAAAAAAUGAUAAUCAAUUGAUUCAAGUUCUUUUUUCCGCGUCGGGGUGACUGAAGAGUGAAGGCGAUGGAGGGAGGCCUGAAAUCCAAAAGCCAUCAGAGCCAAGUGUAGAAUCCAAGCUUCCUUCUCUAAAAUUGAUUCAAAUUCUUUUUUUUUUUUUUUCUCUUUCGAGUUCCCAAUUUAUAAAUCCAAAACCUCUCCUUCCCGAGGAACCUAAAUCUUCCUAAAAUAUGGCGGACGCAGCUCCACCAAGCAAAUCAAGAGACCUGGACAAGCUCCUUCUCCGGCCAGGAAACCUCGUUGGUCCAACCUUCGACCCGGGCGUUCAAGUAUAAUUCUCUCUCUCUCUGUCUCUUUGCCAUUUCUUAGGAACGAUUUGUUUGCAAAUCUUUAAAUUUUUGUUUUUGGUUUAAAGUUUUGAUUUGUGAGGGUUUUGGGUAUUUGCAGUUAAGGGAUGAUUUACAGGAAUAUGUGAAAGUUUUGGUGGUAGGAGCUGGAGGAUUGGGAUGUGAGCUACUUAAGGAUUUGGCCCUCUCUGGUUUUAAAAAUCUUGAGGUCAUUGACAUGGACCGGAUUGAAGUUUCCAAUCUCAACCGUCAAUUCCUCUUCAGGUUUUUCUUUUAAUAUUUGUUACUUUCUUUUUUAGAAAAAUUUUUUGGGGUUUAAUUCUUGAUUGAAUUUGCUGCCACGGUGAAUUAUUUUGUUGUGAUCAAAUUGAUUGCUGAAUUAGAACCAGAAAAUAUUUAGCACUUAUUGUUAUAAUUUGAUGCUGGUUAAAUUCUAAAGAUAACAAAACAAGAAAAAAUAUAGUAGAAGAAGGGGGAAGAAGAAGAAUAAGAGAUGAAUGAUAGAGAGAGGGGACGUUAAUUCAGUUCUCCAGAAUGACAGUAUCCCUUUCCUCAUUCUGCUUUUGAGCUGUUAACUAGGCAGCUGCUAUGCUCCUGGAAUCACGGAUGGCACGUUGCAUUCUCUUUCCUCCUAACGGUAUUGACAGCUAUGCAAAAUCAAUGGGCCAAGAUCAGCUUAGGCCUUACAAAAAAAUAAAGUCCAAAUUAUAAAAAAAAAAGUCCAAUGGUAAUAAAAGGUAACCCAAAUCCAUAUUCAAUUGUUUUUGGCCUGCAACAGUGCUCCCUCCAGGAUCAAAUGCAGGAUACUUCUUUUGCAAUUCAAAUAGCAUCUCCCAAGUAGCAUCUUCCAAGUAGCAUCUUUUUAGAAAAGAAUUGGUCCAUUCAACCGAUACUUUAGUAACGGCUCUGUUUCCCCUCUUAACCAUUCUUCUAGCCAAGAUCUUAGUUGGCUUCUUCACUAUUGAUCCAUCAUCAUCCACAGCAGGUAAACUGGAUUGCGCCAUUGAGCUGCCAACAUGUUUCUUUAACCGUGAAACAUGAAAUGUGUGGUGGAUUUUGGAAUUACCAGGCAAUUAUAGGCUAUAUGCAACAUGACUGAUCUUUUCCAAGACUCUAUAGGGUCCAAAAUAUUUGGCAGCAAGUUUGUUACAGCUUUUGUUCUUCACUAUUUGUUACUAUAAGGCUGCAACUUGACAUAUACUAGAUCUCCCACCCUGAACUCCUUAUCACUCCUCUUUUGUCAGCCAUGUUCGUCAUCCUUGUUUGAGUUGUGGACUAGAACUUCAUCAUUUUUAUUGCAAACUCUCUGGCUUGUAAGCUCCUAUCUACUGUCUUACAAUUGAAUCUCCCGCUAUGUAUGGCAAAUGUAGUGGAGGAGGUUGCCCAUACACCACCUCAUAAGGAGUGGAGUUGAUAGCUGAAUGGUGGCUGGUAUUAUACCACCUUCUGCAAAAUACAGCCAUCUUGUCCAUUUCCUAGGAGUUCCACUCACCAUGCAUCUCAAGUACGUUUCCAAGCAUCGAUUUACAAUCUCUAUCUGUCCAUCAGACUGGGGAUGAUAAGCAGAAGAUUUGUUGAGAGAAGUCCCAUGUCUCUUGAAGAGCUCUUGUUAGAAUUUACUCAUGAAGAUUUUAUCCCUAUCAGAAACAAUAGAGCUAGGCAUAUCAUGUAGCUUGUAGAUGUGAUUCAUAAACAAUUGUGCAACUAUCAGAGCAGUAAAAGGAUGGAAAAUAGCCACUAAAGUGAGCAUAUUUGCUCAAUCUGUCUACCACCACGAAUAUGGUAUGCUUACCAUGUGACUUGGGUAAUCCCUCUAUGAAAUCCUUAGAGAUGUUGUGCCAAAUCCUCUCAGGUAUAGGCAGUGGUUGUAGAAGACUUGGAGAGGCUGAAUUAUCACACUUGCACUGCCGACACACAUUGCAUUCCUGAACCAUUCUUCUCUUAUCCUUCUUGAGUCCUUUCCAAUACAGAACACUAGCAAUCCUUUUCAUAGUGACAUAUACUUCAGAGUGACCACUGGUCGGGCUAUUGUGAUAAUAUUGCAAAAGUUCUUGUCUCAGUGCUGGUACCAUCCCAACUACCAGUUUACCUUUUCACCUUAGUUGACCUCUAUGCCAUGUGUAUUUAGAAUUGGGAUUUGUAUUGCAUUGCAGCUCCUUGAUCAACUGUUGCAACCUUGGAUCCUGAUUCCAAGAAGCUUGAAUUCUUCCCAACAAAUCAGUACCUAUAGUAGUUAUGGCCAUCACCUGUGCUGAUUUACUCUCGGAUUUCCUGGACAAGGCAUCAGCUAUUGUGUUGAAUGCCCCCUUCCUGUAGACAACCUCGUAAUCAUAAACCAUCAUCGUUGCAAUCCAAAGCUGCUGUGCAGGAGUGGCUUCCUGUUUGGUAAGGAGGAAUUUAAACUUUGAUGAUCUGUCUUUAUGAUGAAAUGUCUCCUUCAUAGAUAGGCAUUCCAUUUUUUUUUUUUUUACUGCCAUAAGAACAACCAUCAUCUCCUUCUCAUAUGUAGAUAGAAUUUGAUGUCUAGGUGACAAAGCCUUGCUAAAAUAUGCUAUAGGUCUUCCUUCUUGAGUCAAUAGAGCCCCUACACCCGACCCUGAAGCAUCGAUCUCCACCAUGAACACUUUGUUAAAAUUGGGCAGAGCUAAUACUAGGGUAGUAGUCAUGGCAACCUGUAACUUCUUGAAAGAUUCCCCCGCUUGCUUAUUCCAUUUGAAGGCAUCUUUCUUGAGUAAAUAUGCAAGCAGCUAGGCUAACACCCCGUAUCCAUUAAUUAACCUUAUGUAAUAACCAAUGAGGCCAAGAAACCCUCUUAGCUCUUUUACAUUGUGAGGCUAAGGCCAUUCCAACACACGCAAAACUUUCUACUUAUCCAUCUCAACUCUUUUAGCAGAAAUCACAUGUCCAAGUUACUCUACCUCUAUGGCAGCAAAAAACACAUUUGCUUUUCUUAAGAAACAACUUGUUAGCUUUGAGAAUCUCAAAGACCUGCCUCAUGUGAGCUACAUGACUACACAUAUGAGUAGAAUAAAUAAGAAUAUCAUCAAAGAAUACUAAUACAAAUCUCCUCAAGUAUGCUUUAAAAAGAGAAUUCGUUAGACUUUGAAAAGUUGAAGGUGAAUUAGUAAGCCCAUAGGGCAUAACUAAGAAUUCAUAGUGCCGGUCAUGUGUUCUAAAACCUGUUUUAUAAAUGUUUGCCUCAUGCAUUCUAAUUUGAUGAUAUCUUGAUCUCAAAUCUAGUUUUGAGAAAAUAUUUGCACCAUUUAACUCAUCCAAUAACUCUUCUACUAAGGGCAUAGGAAACUUAUCUUUAAUAGUGAGUUGGUUCAACUGUCUGUAGUCAAUACAUAGCCUCCAGGGUCCAGCUUUUUUCUUGACCAUGACAAUUGGAGAAGCAAAUAAGCUGCAAUUGUGCCUGAUAAUGCCAAAGUUUAAUAUCUCCUUAAUCAACUUCUCAAUCUCAUCUUUUUAUAUUGCAGGAUAUCUAUAGGGCUUAAUCUUGACUGUUUGAGUCUUGUCCUUAAGAGGAAUUCUGUGAUUAUGGGACCUAUGGGGAGGUACUGAGUUGCUUUAAACAGUUUAGCAUACUCCUGUAUUAGCUGCUCAAAGUUGCUGUUUCCUGGGAAUUGAACUGUUGUUGUGGCGAUGGCAUUUAAUUGAACUUGGUUGCUGGCGGUGAGUAACAAUGAGCAUGGAUGAAGUUUCUGACCAACAGACAAGGCUUGCAACAGUUUAAUUUCUUGUUUCUUAUUGGCCAUAUCCAGGAUACCAGGUUGUAUUCCCUAAAGUGGCCUCCAAUUCCCUUGAUAUUGAAACUGCAUGUUUAAGACAGAGAAAUCCCACAAUAUGGUUUCCAAGGUUUUCACCAUUGUACCCCCAAGACUACGUCGCACCCCUUCAGUGUCAAAACCAUAAAAUCAGCUAUAAAUGCAGACUCCAAGACUGACCAUUGCAAUUGUUGACUAAAUCCUGCAGUUCUUACCCUUUCGCCAUUAGCUACUGUUACACCAACUUAUGGUUCUGUCCAAUAUGUAGUCCCAAAGCCUUGGCCACAGAGAGGUCAAUGAAGUUGUGGGUACUUCCAGAGUCCACCAGCAUAACCAGUUUAUGGUUUUUAUUACACCAUGAGUUCUCAUGGUUUGAAACCCAGAAGUGCCUGGUAUAGCAUGUAAAGAGAGUACAGGUUCCUCACUUCCAUCAUUCUCAGUUAUCGGUACUUCUGGAUUAUCAACACAAUCUGAGAAUUCUUCUGUCUCAUUUUCCUCUUCACUCCCUUCAAUGAGUAAUUGAUACAAUUGAGACUUCAUGCAUUUGUGGCCAACUGAAUACUUGGCUCCACAUCAAUAACAAAGCCCCUUUUUCGUCCUCUCUUCCAUCUCAGCUGGUGUAGGGCGUUUGGAUUGUUUGAGCUACUGCUAUUGAAGUUGGGUCUAUUAGGUUGGUGAGUAAAAGUUUUAUUAUUGAGAUCCAAAAGGUUGGGAUUAGGGGUGCUUUUGGGGUAGGCAAUAAGGAUGGAAGGUUACUGUUUUUGGUAGUGUACCUGCUGGUGCUAUGGAAAGACAAGUGAUAAGAGGGUUUUGUAGGUAAGGUAUGUUUCUUAUAAAUUUGGUAGAUGAUAGAUUCAAUUUGUUUGGCCAAAUGAAAAGCCUAAUUCAAGGUUGUAGGUCUGAAAAGUCUAAUAGAUUGUGAUAUCUUUGGUUUAAGAUUACUAAUGCUUAGGGCAUAAGCAUCAAGUAAUUGUAAGAGAUUAAGAAUGCCUAUAAAAUCUUUGUGAAACUGUUCAAUAGAAGAAGUUUGCUUAAGCUCCACUAGCUCUGCCAUGGAGUCUUCAUACUCCUUAGAGGCGAAUCUGUCCUUCAUCUCCUUAAUGUACACCCCGCGGCCCCCCCCCCCCCCCCGUGCAGUGCUUAAAUUCUGAAAUCCUCCUUAGACUUAGUAGAGUACUGGUGCCACUGCAAGGCUUUCCCUUCUAGGCCCAACAGUACUACUCUAACCUUGGAGUGUUCAAGGACCCUUUCAUAAUCAAAAUACUGUUCUAGCUUCAUGUACCAACCCUUAAAGUUAUCUCCAUUAAACUUAGGACAGUCUAGUUUAAGCAGCUUGUAGGAUUCAGAGAUCAAAUGCUUGUUCUGGAUUGCAAAAGUCAUAGUAUUGUUCAGGGUUAUGUCUCCAGAAGAAAGCUUGGGUUCUUCACUACUAGAAUCUGAUUCCUUCCCCAACCUCCGCUUUUACCGAUCGAAGUUUGGUGCCCUUCCCAUUGAUCAGGCGCGGAAUUCCCAUCCUUUGGAGCUAUAUCGAACAAGUUUUAAAACUCAUCCAACAACCGAGCUCUCAUUCCUUCAAUCUUCUGCUCCAAAUCCACAAAUCUUUGUUCCAUCUGUGCAUCCCUUUGUUGAUGAUCAUUCUGUAAUCUGGAAAUCUCUUGUGCAUUUUUGUUGUAUCUUCCUGGUAGUGAUUCCAUCUACUGUUGGUGUCAGGUAUUGGGCUUUGAUACCAAAUGAUGCUGGUUAAAUUCUAAAGAUAACAGAAUAAGAAAAAAUAUAGUAGAAAAGGGGGAAGAAGAAGAAGAAUAAGAGAUGAACAAUUGAGGGAUGGGACGUUAAUUCAAUUCUCCAGAAUGACAGUAUCCCUUUCCUCAUUCUGUUUUUGAGCUAGUAACCAGGCAGCUGCUAUUCCUCUGGAAUCUUGGAUGACACAUUACAUUCUCUUUCCUCCUCCUAAUGGUAUCGACAGCUAUGCAUACUAGAUGGGCCAAGCUCAGCUUAGGCCUUACAGAAAAAUAAAGUCCAAAUUAUAAAAAAAAAAAAGUCCAACGGUAUUAAAAAGUAACCCAAAUCAUAUUCAAUUGUUUUGGGUCUGCAACAUAAUUUUAGUUCUUUUUUCUAAAUAUUCAAUCUCGCAUGGAAGUCUUAGGUCCAAAUCCUAUUCCUAGUACAAGAUUGGGUUUCUUACUUUUGUGUAGCAAACUAGCAAUAGACUGUUGAACUUUCACUUGUAUUAAAUAAAAAACCAAGCACGGAAAGAUGCAUGGAUGUCUCAUAAAAAGAUUGGCGAUGCAUUUGGUUAUGAAUUUUUUUUUCACACUAGCUAAUUUUACCAUCAUUAUAUUUGCUUUACUAUCUCUUUCAUUUGAUUAUUGUCACUGCAGCUUGAAUAUCUACUAUGCAUCUUUUGUUUAAUUUAUAUUUGAGACUGGAAAGUUUAAAGCUGAUGUAAUUUGGGGUGUUAAUACUUGUAGGCUGGAAGAUGUUGGUAAACCAAAGGCUGAGGUUGCAGCAAAGCGUGUGAUGGAAAGAGUUAGUGGUGUGAAUAUUGUGCCUCAUUUUUGCCGAAUUGAGGACAAAGACAUUGAAUUUUAUAGUGACUUCAAUAUUAUUGCCCUUGGUCUUGAUUCCAUUGAGGCUCGGAGCUACAUUAAUGCUGUGGCUUGUAGUUUCCUUGGUGUGUUUUUUAACCUAUUAAUAGUUGAUUGCAUCUAUUUGAAAAUUGCUUUAAAUAUCUAUUAUAUUAGUUCUAGGACAUUUUAAAAUUCAAAAUUUUUAUUUGGAAAUUCUUGGAAUUUAUCUUAAUGUGAGGGCUAGCAAAUAUACUCUAAUGCUCUAGCCUCUAGGUUCAUCAUCAUGACAAAAUGAUAAUAGAUUAGACACAGCCUUAUGGCAUAUGCUUCGUAUGCUUGUAUGAGCUAUGAAAAGCACGAGAGCUCAGAGCUGUUGCAUGUUUCUCUACAUGUUUGAGUCGCUUGGGACAUGUUUAAUCCCUUAAUACCUGGCAUUGAAGGAGUUAGUUUCAUAAUUUGAAGUUCAACAGAUAAUUAGAAGCAGGAGUCUGGUAAUGAUACCAUUUUACUUGCUUUUCUUUCUUGUAGCAUGAAUUCUGAGUUAGGUAUUUGAUCUUUUAUCAUCUGCGUUUAUUCUCCUUUAAUGUACCGAACAUUUUUUUGUAAAGUGACUUGCUAGAUUAAAUUAGGCUAAUAUUGUAACUAACUUUUUUCCUGUUUUUGAAGAGUAUGAUUUUGACGAUAAUCCACGAGAAGAAACAAUGAAGCCUAUGGUAGAUGGUGGGACUGAAGGUUUCAAGGGCCAUGCUAGGGUGAUUGUGCCAGGGGUCACACCAUGCUUUGAGUGUACAAUCUGGCUUUUUCCUCCUCAAGUGAAGUUUCCUUUAUGUACUUUAGCAGAAACCCCCAGAAAUGCAGCUCAUUGUAUUGAAUAUGCUCACUUAAUUAAAUGGGAUGAGGUAAUAUUAUAAUUAAUGUCUUAUUUGUCAUUUUCUGAAUCUGUUGAUUCUGAAUUUUCAUGACAGUUUUCUUCUCCCUACCUUAUAGGUUCACAGGGGGAAGGCUUUUGAUCCAGAUAACGGAGAUCACAUGAAGUGGGUCUAUGAUGAGGUUAAACAUAUGAAUCUUUUUAGCAUUGAUUGCCUUUAAGCUGGUUUUGCUUUUUGUGAUUCUUUCACUAAUGACAUCCAAAUAUCACAGGCUGUCAAGAGAGCUGAACUUUUCGGCAUUCCAGGAGUUACUUAUUCUCUUACACAGGUAUUCUGGGAAGCUAAAGUUUGUGAUUUAUAUUCUCUUGAUCACUGUAUUGCUACUUCUGGUGUUCUUUAUGAUUCCUGAAGAAAAUAGCUUAUAUUUUAAGUUGUCCAAUGUAUCAAUUUGGUUUUUUAACAAUUUACUUUUUCUUAACUAUUCAAGAUUUCAUACGUGUCCAAUGUAUCAAUAAGCAAAAUAGCAUUAUGAUGCUAGAUUUAAAGAACUAAUUUUCAUUUGUGAAAGUAUAAAUGGUCACAUUUUUUAGUGUCUUCUCCUCUUUGAUUAUAGAUAAAAUAAUAUAAUAUCUCAAUGUUACUUACAGGGUGUUGUAAAAAACAUUAUACCAGCUAUUGCUUCCACCAAUGCAAUUGUUUCUGCUGCAUGUGCUUUGGAAACCUUGAAGAUUGCAUCAGGAUGCAGUAAAACUCUAUCAAACUAUCUUACGUAUGUCCAACCCUCUCUCUACCUCUCCUUGGGGCAUUCUAUUAUUGAAACUUACAAUGAUUUUGGUGGCUAUAUUUGAAUGGCUUUGACAUUUAUUCUUGUUUGAGUAUGGUACUUUCACUACUGAUUUUCCAUUUAUUAUAUGUACGUAGAUUAUAACCACUAUGAUAGUAGCAAUUAUCUCUGAAUCUCGGCAAAAGAUAGCAAGAGGGAGGGAGAAUAGGCUCUCUGAAACCAUGCAAAAUAGUUGAUUCUCCUAUUGUGAUGACUUGAUUGUCAACAGGAUAUCGUAGAAAUGAAUACAUUCAGCAAACUUGAUAUACAUGUACAUGGAUGAAUAAUUUCUUGUUUUAAUCUCCUCUCUGCCUUUAGAACAGUGAUAUUUAUUUAUUUGUUUAUUAUAUUUUAAAUUUUCAUGUUGGUUAUCUAUUAUACUUCAAAAUCCAUUGUCAAACUUGCAUACUUCUUUUAUAGGUAUAAUGGUGUUGAAGGUCUUCACUCCAAAGUGACUCAAUUUGUCAAGGACAAGGACUGUCUUGUCUGUGGUCCAGGUGUUCUCAUUGAGCUGGAUACUACUGUUACUCUUCAAAAGGUUAACUUUCUGAAUCUUAUGGAGCUGAGUUUGUAGGUUGGCUUGGGUCAUUAUUAGUACGUUGUUUUAUUUAUGCUUUUCCCUUUAUUGGAUUUAUAUUGAAGCAGUUCAUCAAUAUGCUAGAGGAGCAUCCUAAGCUGCUCAUAUCGAAGGCCUCAAUCACAUAUCACGGAAAGAAUCUAUACAUGCAGGCACCUCCUGUUCUGGAAGAAAUGACCAGAUCAAAUCUAAAUCUGCCGCUAUAUGACCUCAUGGAUAAAAUCCCAAAAGACAUUCUCCAUGCGACUGGUACAAUCAACAAGGACAACAAAAAGUCUUCUGGUUUAAAAAAAUUACGUGUUGUUUUCAAGGGAAUUGAUGGGGUUACAGAUAUGGAUUUGGCUGGUGGUGCAUGAUCGUAAAAAUAUAAAUUAUAUUUAUUCUUGUAAAAAAUUUCAAGCCCUUUUUGCAGUAUUUGUUGAAGAAAAUGUGUUUUAGGUCCAAGUUAUUGAUACAUUAUGAACUUCCACGAUGCCAAUUGUUUUCUAUGGUAUAUUGCCAGUCAUCAUCUUAUUUGCCUCUUUUUUUUUUUUUCUUUUUUUUUUUUAAAAUUAAACACAAUGAGUAAUUUGCUAUGGUUGGAAAUGAGAAAUUUAAUUCGCAGUAGAUUUUAAGGUUUUGCUUUGCACCGUGGAUAGGAAAAUAGUAAGUUAGAAAAAUAAAAAAAAUUAAAAAUUGAAAAAGGGGAAAUAUAGAAAGAUAUGUUAAUAGUUGUUAGUUAAAUAUUAGACUUACGGUAGAAUGCUAGGUUUUAGAUUUUUAAUUCUAUUUCAUGGUUUUAAAUUCUGGAAGUCUUUAGUAUAGAAAAAAUAAUGAAUAGAAAUGUUGAAAAGAAUUAAUUUUUUUUAUUUAUGAUUUUAUAAAAUAAAAAAAUGAAAAAAUUAUUUUAUUUUAUUAUUAUAUCUUUUGUUUAUUAAUAUUAAAAAAAAUUUAAAACUUGAUGGAUAAUGUUGCAAGUAUAAAGCAUCUAGAUUUUUUUUUUUUUUUUUUAAUUUUAGACACUUAAGUUUGUUUAGGUAUGUUUUGGUCAAAUAUGAUGCAUUGAAAGUUAAGACUCGGGUCUUUUUCAAGAUUUUUUAUUUCAUGACUUUUGAAUAAAUCGAUUCUUAGGUUAAUACAAAAGAAAAACAAUAAUUAAGAAAAAAGUCAAAAGUCAAUUUAAAAGAUAAUUUAGUCAAACUAGACAAAUUUAGUCAAAUUUAGGUCAAUUAUUGGAUUUUUUGAUUGAUAAAAACUGUUGAGGCUCAUUAGUAAUAAAUGAGGAAUUUUAUUUACAUUCCUAUGUUUAUUUUAUACACCCCACUAUUAAAUAUAAUCUAUAUUCAAACUAAAAUUUCUUAUUUUUACUAAAUAUAUCUCAUAACUCACAUUUUUAUUUUCCCUUCUUACUUUUUCAAUUUCAUUCUCUAUUAUUUUUUUCUCUUCAAAACCCUAAAUCAAUCAAACUAAUCCCAAAUCAACUUUGUUCUUGAGUUUUUUUACUUAUUAAAGGCAACAUUUCUAGCUUUCUUUUAGAUUAAUUUGGUUGAAAUGUGGUUGAAAUUCAUGUAGAAAUAAAGGUUUAGGGUUUAUGGUAGAAUGAGGUUGAAUUCGAGCUUCUUGGAAAUGUGUUUUUGAAAAAACUUGAGGUUUCUCAAAAAUCAAUUGCUAAGAAACCUAUUGUUUUCUUGGAAAUUGAUUUUCGAGAGACCUUAAGUUAUCUCGGAAAUGGGUGUUUGAGAAGAAUGAUGCUUUUCUCAAAAAUUCAUUUCCCAAAGGGUUGUAGUAUUCUUGGAUACCCAUUCUGAGAAGGUAGGUUCUAAUAUUCUCAGAAACCUAUUUUUGAAAAGAUUUUAGGCCUUACAGCAUUGGAUUUUCAAGCAGUUGAGGCUUCUCAUAAACCAAUUCUUGAUAAGACUUUAGGUUUCUCAGUAGUUGAUUUUUGAGAAGCUUAAAGAUCUAUUUUUUAUUCUAUAAAUUUGAUUCAAUUUUGCCAUGAAUUAAUAUAUUUUGCAAAUUUGUCUUUGAGUUGACAUUUUUAAUGAUUUAUGUUUUGUUACAGAUAUGGCUAGUACUAGAGAAAGAGGUACUGGAGUUGAUGUCGGUCCUAGUCAGAGGCAUUCGAGUGCCUUUGAGAGGUGAUGGAGAAUUGUAGGGGAUGGUGAGCCUGAGAAUCAUAUGUUUAAUGAGAUUCCUUAGGCUGAGCCUUCAACUUGCACCAUUGAUGAGCAUCAAGUGGAGUCAUUCCCAGAGGGUUCUCAUGAUACCUCAAUUAUCUUGAGUUUCGCUUCUUAUGUUGCAUUCCAAAUUUAGAAUGGCCAAGUAACCACUCAAAUUAUAUUAUUGUUGAUGAUUUGUAUAUGAUAUUAAAAUUAGGAAUGUUGUAUUAAAAUUUUAUUGUUGUUGUUGUUGUUGUUGUUGUUAUUGUUACAGGAGCGAGGUUUGUUGAAGUCGAUUAACCAUAGGUCGAAGUUAUAGCAAUGGCAUCUAGAUGAUGUACAGAGAAAGAUCUGAGCCCAUAUGGUGUAGUCAGGGUUGUCUUCACUCAUUGACUGCACUUAUCAUAGCAUCAACGCAACAUUAGUAUCCACUUUUGUCAAUAGGUGGUAGCUGGAGACAAACACAUUUUAUAUGCUGUUUGGUGAGAUGACUAUCAUGCUGGAUGAUGUGUUCAUCUUUUUCCACAUAUUGAUAAGGAUGACCUCGGUUAGAAUGCUUCAUUUGUUGACGAUGCACGAGGCAAACAUAUUAUUGUCGAGGUUUUCGGAGUUUCUUAUGAUGAUGCUAGAUGGGAGACUAAAUCAAGUAAAAGAUCUACUAUUUGACUAUCUUGGCUGUGUGAGACCUUUAGGCAUGUCACUGAUGCAUCGGAUGAUGAGGCAAUUGCAUGUGCAUCCCAUGCUUUUUUAUUUGGUAGGGAAUAUGUUAUUUUGUGAUGAGAUCGCCAUAAGAGUCUCAUUAACGUACUUACCCUUACUCGAGGACCUCGUUGCUAGGGAUGGCAUCGGGGUGGGGCGGGUUGUUUUAUUUUCCCCGCCUUCGACCCGAUGCUUUAAUGCUUUUAUCCGAUACCCGACCUACCCCCGCUCGGAGGUUGUAGCUGAAAAACCCGACUCCGACCCGCUUGAAUAUUAUUUACCCGAAUUUUACCCGACCCGACCCGACCCUAAUUUAAUCUACUACCUAUUCAAAUUUAUUGCAAAUGUAAUAAAUCAUAAUCUAAAUAUAUUACAAACAUGAACAAAUUUAACAUAAUCACUCACAAAUUCAAAUUUAGUACAUACAUUUUUUUUUAUUUAAUAAAAAUCUCAUAAAUUCUUACCAUAAGUAAUAGAAUUAUAAAAUACAUAAAACAUAGUAAAUCAAAACUCACAAAUUCUCACAAUAGAUGAUGGAAUUAUGAAAUAUAUAAAACUUAGUAAACUAAAAUUCAAAUAUGAAACAAGCAUAAGUUAAUAACUAAAAUUUAAAUAUAGUACAUAAUACAAGAUAAACAUUAAAAGCUUAAACUACCACAAUAAAAAGUUAAAUUGUUUGAACAUUCUUUCAUCCAAUAUGGUGAAAAUCUUCCAAGACCACAACAAAUCAUUUCAUCAUCACUAAGCUUCAUAUCAUCAUUCUCCUCUAACCACACUAGUCCUAUAAAAUAAAACAAUAAGAUGAAUAAAUAAAUAUUAUAAAAUAAUAUAUUUAAAAAUAAUAAUAUAAAAAAUGAAUUAGUUAUAAAAGAUAAUAUUAUUUACCAAAUUAGUUAUCUUUUCCUCAAUCUCACUAUCAUCAACAUCCUUGUAAAAAGAAUUUUCAUCUAAUGAAAUUGACCCUACAAAUGAAAUAAUAAAAUAUUAGCAAAUAAUAUAUAACAACAAAAUAUAGUAACUAACAAUAUGCUAAAAUAAAAAAUAAAAUUACAUAAUAUGAAUUAUUGUACCUUCUUCUUUAGCCUAUAACCAAUUUUGACAAAAUGUUAAAGCUUUUAUAGUUGAUGGAUGAAGUCUAUUACGUUGUGCACUCACCAACCUCCCUCCAAUACUAAAAGUAGACUCUGAAGCAACAGUAGAAACUGGUAUGGCAUAUAUAUCUCUAACAAUAAGUUGUAAGGUCGAAAAUUGAGGUCCAGUUAGUUUCCACCAAUUCAAUAUAUCAAAAUCUCUUUUUCUUGGUAUGACUUCUUCAUCCAAGUAACGAUCAAACUCUGAUUUUACUUUUGAAUUUUUCUUUUUUUUCUUUGAAACAAAAUCAUCUUAGUCUCCCAAAUUUUCCAAUUUAGUAACACCAACACCAUCUAAGAAUGAAAAGCUUGAACUAGAAGGUCCUUCUUCCUUUUUCAAAGCCAAUUUCUCCUCAUACUCCUUAAGCAAAUCCUUUCAAUUUCAAAUUCAACAUUUUCUCCAUAAAUCUUUUCAAAGUAAUACUCCAACAACUCUGUUUUAUACCUUGGAUCUAAAAUUGUAGCAACACCCAUUAUGCCAUGCACAUCAUUCUAAUAUUUUUCAAAUUUGCCUAACAUGCUCACAGCCAUACAUGAAAUAAUUCUAUCGGUAUGCAUAAUCCAUUCAUUCAAUGCCAAUCUGAUUUUGCAAAUAUUAGGAAAAUAAAAAAUUGCAGUAGCAUAUUUUGUGCCAGAAAACCCUUUAGUGAUAUCAUAAAACAAUUUCAACUUCUCACAAAUCUCGGUUGCAAUGAUCCAAUCAUUUUCAGUUGGUAAAUAUUUGUACAAAGGAUCACCAUGUAAUUGCACACAAUGAGGAAAAACAUCUUUAUAAAACAAAGUUGUUCGAAACAUCAAAUAAGUAGAGUUUCAUCGUGUUUUGACAUCAACACACAACUUUUUUAAAGUUGGAAUACGCAAUUGACGCGCUGCCUCUUCAAAAUUUUCGCACCUCUUUGGUGUAGCACCCCAAAAAGAACACUAUCAUGAAUUCUUUCAAUUCCAUCUCCAAUCACACUCAAUCCAUCUUUCACAAUCAAAUACAAGAUGUGUGCGCAACAACGCAUAUGAAAAAAAGCCUCAUUAAGCAAAAAUGCAUCACAACCAAUUCUAUCAAUUAACAACUCAGUAACACCAUCAUUCACACUACAAUUAUCCACUGCAAUAGAUGAAAAUUUUCUAUCAAUAUUUCAAUCUAGGAAACAUUUCAUCAAACUUGAAGUAAUGACCUCUUUUGUAUGUAGAGUUGGCACAUAUUCAAACCUAAUUAAACAAUCAAUUAUUUACAUUAAUUUAAUAAUUAAUUCAAUAAUAAUAAUUACUUAAUAAAAAAUAAACAUUAUCAAAAUAAGACAAUUUAAUAAAAUAUACUUGAUGAUGCAUUUUUGUAAGUUCCAUUGAUUAUUGAUGUAAUGAGCAGUGACAGCCAUGUAUCCUCUUUUUUGGUGAUCAACAGUCCACAUAUCAGUUGUGAUAGUAAUUCUCCCUUCAUUAGCUUCCAACUUGGAUAUUACUUUUGCCUUUUCCUCUUUGAAAAUAUUCAAAAUAUCACUCUUUAUAGUAUUUCGAGAAGGCAUAGCAAACAAAGGUUAGAGACUGUAAGAAUACUUUCUGAAUUGCACAUGAUCAACCAUUGAUAAAGGAUAUUUAUGCAUGAUUAUCAUGUCGGCAAGCUCCCUCCUUGUGACAUUUUGAUCAAAGGAAAAGUUUUUUAGUGUUACUUUUCCAUCUGCCUUCCUUUGAUUUGCUACCAGCACUUGUUGAUGAAUAUCCAUUUGAAAUCGCUUGCUACACCUCUCUGAAUGUUCACGUAAAUGACUUGUCCCAUUCUUUGAAGCACCACCAAGUUUUUUCUUACAAUAAUUGCAUAUUGCCUUCCAUUCAUUAUUGAUCUUCUCUUUUUUAAAAUGUUUCCAUACUUCUGAUUUUAGCUUACUUGAGUUAUACCCAUUAUCAUCAACUUCAGCACCCUGAUUCAUCACACUUAAUGAUUGAGUUGUAUUUUCAUCAGAUGUUGGAAUUGGAGUUUGCUGAAUUGGUGAUUGAUGUGAGGUAGAAGUAGGAGGUGUUGGGGAACAUGAAUUAUCUCCCAAAUUAGACAUUUUACCUUCAUUCAUAAAAAAAAAUAGAGUUAUUAUUUUUUAUAUUAACAAAUAAAGCAACUGAAUAGAUUAACUAUAUAAAACCAAAAUAAAAAGUUUUAUUAACAAAUAAUUCUACCGAAACAAUUGAAAACCAAACUUAGAAUCUAAGUAUAAAAAAAAUUAGACAAGUUCAUUCCUUAAAAAAAAAGUAAGAGAUUAUCCUACCAUGUACAACUUAGCAUGCACCUUUAACCAAAUAAGAAGGCUAAUUAACAUAUAAAACAAGUUAAAGUAUCUUCAUUUGUCUUAUCAAACUUAAAAAGCCAAGAAACUAUGUAAAGUAAUAAUAAUAAUAAUAAUAAUAACAACAACAACAACAACUAGCUAGUUCAUCAACUUCCUAGAUUAUGAAUGAUUCCUUACAUUAAUUGUAACAAUUCUCAUGUGUGAGUUGAUUAACUUUAUAAAUGUUCCAAGUUAGAAGAAAUUGGGACUAAUUUUAAUUGUAGAUAUAGGUUUUGUACUUGCACCAUUGCAAGAAGCUUUUCUUUAUAGAGAAAUUUUGCUCACAACAUUAGAGUAUGGAAGCUAACAUCUAUAUCCUUGGAAAAGAUGAAUUCUAUUUAAAUCUCUUGGAGAGAGAGUUAUAAAUUUGACAAUCACCUAUAUUUGUGAACGAGGGUGGUUUAGAAAUUGCACAAACUGUGAAACCCCAUGAGUACAAUGCAACUUCUGUUUCGAAUAGGCCAAAGUUCGUUAAAUCGUAAAUAAGACAUGAAUCACCUAAUACUUAUACCACCCAAAAACAAGAAUCUGCUCAAGCUAAGUUGGUAACUAAAAGUAGCAUGAAUGAGGGUAGUUUAGAAACCACCCAUACUGUGAACCCCCCAGAGUGUGGCAAUAGUGGUGGUAAAGUUAAUGACACCCAUGAUUCUGCUUUCAAUAAGCCAUUUUCUUCUUCCAUAUCUACCUUUGGAGGUAUUAGCUCAGAUAAACUGAAAGAUGAGACCAACGAUGGUUCACAGUUUCAGCAAAAGACAAUGUCUGUGAAUUGUGAUACGGGGUGGGGAAAUGGUACAAGUUAGGUUUUAACCCGAUGGCAUUGAUUCGCUGAUUUCUUUACGUGUUAUUAUAAUAUUGUUAAUUUCUUUUUUCAGGUGAGUUACCAGGUUUAUAUCCCUAAGAGAGCCCCUACUUUGGCUAAGAGGCCUCAAGCGCUAGUGUUAAAUCUAAAAAGUUGAUUCAAUGAGGUAAUUUUUGUGAUGACUUGAGAGUUGCAAACAACUAUAAUUUUGCCUGCAACAUCAGUUGGACAACUAUCAAAGAUGGAAAGUGUCAUUUGAUUUAAAACUAUGUUAUUAUAUGCCAAAAAAUGCUAAAUUUACAGCUAAAUAUGUCCCACUGAAGCAUCUAAUUUCAAUUUCUCCUUUUUACUUUAAUUCUAGAAUCUAAUCCCACUGAGUAUUCAAUUCAAAAACCAAGCCAUUAAUGCCACGGACCUGACCCUUGUUGUCUUGUCUCUAAGCUAUUAGCAAGUUUUUAAGAAAAAUACAUAAUAAAAAUGAUUGAUACUUGUAAAUAAGAUAUAUAAAAGAGAUGGUUUUAGCUUACCUCAGAUCUGUUAGUACUAAUGGCGAUUACUGAGAGGAAAGCUUGGCUGUUGCAGUUUUUGUUUCUCAAAAGGGGAAACGGCAGCUUCUAGGGACUAACAAUUGGCUCGUCCUCCUUCUAUUUUCUGUUCGAUUGAAUUUUUUCUUUCUGGCUUGAAGGAUUCCUUUGCUGAAUUAAAGGAAAGAAUCUGGAAAUAUAUGAAACCUAAAUAGAGGAAGAAAGGUGGGAUGGCUAGAUGGGUGGAUAAGCAGAUCAAGUUCAUGGUAGGUGUAGAAGCUGGGCGAAGCGGUAGCGAAGCUCAGGUGGUGAUGCAAAUACGCGGUGAGCGUAGUAGCCCCCUCGGGCAUGCUCCUUGUAGAACCAAGCGAAGAGCUAGUGAGGGCCGGAAUGGAAUAUCGUAUGUAGUGUAGAAUCGGAUCUGAAGCUCUUUACUAGGAUUGGAACAAGCGAGGAACGAGUGACCACAAGCGGAGCUUAAGCGCUCGACAUGCAGUUAGCUCAAAACAUGUUCAUCAUGUGGCCGAGCGAAGCGCACCUGUGUGAAGCAGCCUGGCAUCACUUUAUAUAGAAACAUAAAUGCAAAACGGAUGACUUACAACUAAAAGUAAGGGAGACGAAAGACCUAGAGCGGCC
RNAcentral lists this long non-coding RNA (47395 nucleotides) under Durio zibethinus. RNAcentral's name for it is "long non-coding RNA (DZIB_LNC000651)". The record is from RNAcentral. Lineage: Eukaryota; Viridiplantae; Streptophyta; Magnoliopsida; Malvales; Malvaceae.